Molecule: long non-coding RNA, 49138 nt
Filed under: Salvia miltiorrhiza (redroot sage)
Lineage: Eukaryota; Viridiplantae; Streptophyta; Magnoliopsida; Lamiales; Lamiaceae
Description: long non-coding RNA (SMIL_LNC011878)
Source: RNAcentral
AAAAAUGGAAAAAUCUUCCCAUUUUCUCGUCCUUGCACUACUCUUACCAAUCCAUUAUUUGAUGGAUUAUAGCUCAGCCAAAAACGAUAUCAACACCGAUCGUUCUUCCCUUCUCGCCUUGAAAUCUCAAAUCACUUCAGAUCCUCAAAAUAUAUUGACACAAAAUUGGAGCACUCAAGCCAGUGUUUGUGGUUGGAUUGGAGUUACUUGUGAUUCACGUUACAAUAGGGUUACUCAGCUGAAUAUAUCGUCCAUGGGUCUUGUCGGAACCCUCUCACCAGAAAUCGGGAAUCUUUCUUCUCUCGUUUCUCUACACGCGAACGAGAACUACUUUCAUGGCUCCAUUCCCCCAUCUAUCUUCAACAUGUCAUUUCUAGAAGUUUUGGAGCUAAGGAAUAAUAGUUUGUCUAGUAGUUUACCUCUUGAUAUUGUUGGGAAAUCAGUUCCCCAUCCAAACUUGGUAGAAGCAAGAAAUAAGAAUAAAAAUAGACACAAUUUAACAACACAAGAAUUUAACGUGGAAACUCCAAAUCCGGAGAAAAACCACGACACACUGAAAAAUUACUAUAUGAUAAAUUUCUACAAUCACACAGUAUUUCUCACCCUCUCGACUCACAACCACUACACUCUUACAAGCCUUUGAAAACCUCUCACCCCUCUAAAACAAAGAGCAAGGAAUUUCAAACUAGAAGUAAUCACAAGACUAAAGGUAGUGAUUGGUGCAAUUGUAUCAAAGACCUUGGAACUCCUUAAAUAGCCUAAGGGUCUCCACCUACUUUGAUAGCAAAACCAAUGUGGGACAAAAAUCCCCACUUUCAUUUUUAACACAAUUCCAACAAUCUCCACCUUGUUAAAAAUGAAAGAAAAAACACCAUUGUCUUCACCGACAAUCAUGAUUCUUAAUCACAAAGAACCAUCAUCCUCAAAAAAGAAUAAACCUAACUCCACCAAAUGAGUAGAACACUUAGAAUAAACCAUUCUAAAGAAUUUUACUUCGGCACAUGUCGAAAAAAACCUUGCUGAAAUUUUGGUGCAACCUUCUAGCUUUUGGCCCUCCUAGAAGUCAUCAGCCAUCGACAUACUUUUCACCACACACCUGCAUCCAUGCCAAAAAACCAUGCACAUGUGGUCCAACUAACAUCGUCACAUCCUCUAUCAUGGCCAUUGGACAUGCCAUAAGGAUAUUCAUGUCCUCAAAGGACAUCAUCAAACACGAUGUUAGCUGCUCGUUCGGAGCUUUCUGCCGAAUCCGCUCCACCUUGACAAGCUCCACCUGGACAGUUUCGCUUCGUAUGGCCGGGUUUUCCGCACCUCCAACAAACAACGCCCUUGGAGUCUUUCUUCCUCCCUCUGCUAAAGGCCACCAUUGCUGAAUUUUCCGAUGAAGGACGUCCUUCACUCAUCAGCCUUCUUUCUUCCAAAAGAAGUUUGCCCGUGACUUCAGCAAAGACCAGAGUUUCCUUCCCAUAAACUAAUAUUGGCUUCAUGUGUUCAUAGGAACGUGGAAGAGACAAGAUGAGUCUCAAUGCCUUAUCCUCAUCUUCAAUUUUCGCUCCAAUACUCUCCAGUUCAGAGAUAAUGCCAUUGAGAAUACUCAAGUGAUCUGAAAUCUUCACACCUUCAUCCAUCCGUAAGGUAUGAAAUUGUUCCUUCAAAUACAACCGAUUCGAGAUGCCUUUUGCUUGGUACAGAGCUUCCAGCUUUUCCCAAAGCUCCUUCGCACUCGAAAUCCCAUGUACAUUUGCAAGUACAUUCUUGGCCAAGCAGAGACGAAUUGUGCUUGCCGCCUUCAGAUCCAGAUCCUCCCAAUCUUCAUCACUCAUACCGGACUUGUUGUUUUGCGUCAUCAUCUGCACCGGGCUUUUUGACUGCACCCGGACUUCCUUUCAGGGCCUUGUGUAACCCAGAUUGUAUCAGCACAUCCUUGACUUGCACUUGCCACAAGCCAAAAUUUAUUAUUCCAUCGAAUUUCUCCACGUCGAACUUCAUUUGGACUUGAAGUUAACUUGACGUACCGCUUCUCCACCAAAAUGAACAGCCGUCUCGCAAGAGACACCCCGCCCGGAUCUUUCUCAAGAAAUCCUUUCUGAUGUGGAAGAUCAGACAAUGCUGCAACCACAGAGCAUACUUGGAAUAUCAAGAGACCUCAACCAGGCUCUGAUACCAAUUGUUGGGAAAUCAGUUCCCCAUCCAAACUUGGUAGAAGCAAGAAAUAAGAAUAAAAAUAGACACAAUUUAACAACACAAGAAUUUAACGUGGAAACUCCAAAUCCGGAGAAAACCACGACACACUGAAAAAUUACUAUAUGAUAAAUUUCUACAAUCACACAGUAUUUCUCACCCUCUCGACUCACAACCACUACACUCUUACAAGCCUUUGAAAACCUCUCACCCCUCUAAAACAAAGAGCAAGGAAUUUCAAACUAGAAGUAAUCACAAGACUAAAGGUAGUGAUUGGUGCAAUUGUAUCAAAGACCUUGGAACUCCUUAAAUAGCCUAAGGGUCUCCACCUACUUUGAUAGCAAAACCAAUGUGGGACAAAAAUCCCCACUUUCAUUUUUAACACAAUUCCAACAGAUAUGUGCAAACACAAUCUGCAUAGACUCAAGAGGCUUCGUAUAUCUUACAACAAGAUGUAUGGGGAAAUACCAUCGAGUUUGGAGAAGUGUUCACAGCUUGAGUAUCUUUCUUUGGUAAACAACACUUUCACUGGAUUUGUGCCGACAGAAAUUGGGAACUUGACGAAGCUUCAAAUGUUGCUCCUUGGUGUAAAUAAGUUGACUGGUAAGUUCAUUCCUAUAUUUAUGAGGUCAAAUCAUGCAUUUAAUGCCAUAUUAUUUAAUUCUUUAAUUUAUGUGCUUUAUGUUUGAGUGUCAAAUUUAAAAUUUAUCUCAGCUUAAUUGUAUGUAUAAACUCAAUUUGGACCACUAAUCAUUAUACAAUAAUGCAUACAACUGUAAGGAUGUGAUUUGUUGAUAAAGGAUUUUUCUUUUAUAACUCACACACAUCCUGGAUGACUCGAACCUCCAACCUGCAUCAUUUGAUCUUCUUUAAGUGGUAUGUUGUCUUGAAGUUGGUAUUUUAUGUUAUGCAUAAUUUCUCCUCUUUAAUUUCAACACUUUAAAUGGUGAGCUUACAUCCUCCAUCAGCAACUUGACAUUCCUUGAAAUACUUAUUCUCUCUAGUAUGUACAAGGUUUGGAAGGAUCAGUUGCACAAGGUUUUCGAAACUUUAGUGGUAAUAAAUUGCAAGGACCAUCAACAUUUACCAAUGGUUGGACUCUUUUUCGGUCAUUUUAAGUGAUAAUAAAUUGCAAGGAGCAUUACCUAGCUAAAUCCUUGAUCAAUUGUCAAAGUCAUAUAAUUGUGUCUUUCACAAAUUUAUAAAUGACUUUUCCAUAUAACAUUCAACAGAACUAGCAAGAAAUCUGAAAUACUUUGAGAUUUAAGUGGUUGAGGAUGAAGGAAACUGUUUAUUGCUUGGAGAUUUGCACAACGCAACAUAUAUAUUCCAUAAGAGAUUGGUUAUCUUCGUUGUUUAGAAACAUUGAGCAUGUAUUUUAAACAUUCUUUUUAUUGGAUUAAUGGUAAUUUAUUAAUACAUCGAUAAAUUAACAACUUUUUAGUUUAUAACGUAUUUUCUUGAUUUCAGAAAUUACAAUUAAAUCAAGUUAUAAUGAGUAAAAACUAAGAGAGAUAAUAUUUAAAUUAAAUAAAUUGAUGUAUCUAUCAAGUCAUUGUGGUUGAUAUUACGGGAGAUCCUAAUGAUGAUCAAGCUGAAGAUGAUUCAACAAUAAAUUCAAAUUGUAAAAAGUUAAAAUGGUAUAUUCAUAAUUGUAAUAUUUUAAUAAUAUUAAUGGCACCUAUAUAUACAAUAAUCUGCAUCUGGCCGGAAUACAGUCAUCGAGACAUUAAUCAAUAAGAAAAUUUUGACUUUACGACGCAAACAUUAAAAGGUUCAUAGGUUAGGGUGAUACAGUAAUGUUUUCAAUAUGCGUUUCAAUCUAGAAUAAAACUAACUUUUUGUGAUGAUUUGGAUAUUUGUAGGAGUUAUUCCACAAGAGAUUCAUCAUCUUCAUAAUUUAGGAGUGUUGGACUUGAGUUGGAACAAGUUGUCAGGCACUUUGCCACCAACCAUUUUCAACAUGUCUUCCUUGACAGCGAUUGACUUAUCAAGUAACACACUUAGCGGGGCAUUGCCUUCAGAAAUUGGGAACAUGAAAGCACUAUCUACUUUACUACUUCAGAACAAUUCUUUAACCGGUAAGAUUUCCAACUCUGGUAGAGUUUUACACAUAUUCAAAUGUUUCUUAAUUUUCAUGUAUAUUUAGCAUUUACAACCAUUGUGAGACCUUUAACUUCUUCUCAAAUCUGCAUUUCACUUUUCCAUAUAGCGUUUACAGCUAUGUUCUUCUCAAAUCUAUAUCGUCCUUUUUCUUCCAUUGAUUAGUGGAAUAUAUAUCAUUAUACUUAAUAGUAUACAGCUCAAUCUCCCAACCGAUCGAAUCACGUAUUUUACCUAUUAUUGUUAUGAUCGUUAUACUUAACAAUAUGGAACUUGACUUUGAUGACUUCAUUAUUCUCCAGGUACUAUUCCGAGAGAAAUUGGGAACAUGGAAGCACUACAGGCUUUAUACCUUAGAAACAAUGGUUUAACAGGUAAGAUUUCUUAUUGUUGUAGAGUUUUAAUUACAUAGCUCGGUGAACUUUUUGCACGAUUUAUUGUUCUCUGUCUUCCAUUGAUUAGUGGAAUAUAUAUCAUUAUACUUAAUAGUAUACAACUGAAUCUCCCAACCCAAUACUAGUUGUGUUUUUUCAUAAAUUAAUAAAUGACUUUUCCAUAUAUCAUUCAUUAGCACUAGUAAGAAAUUUGAACUACUUUGAAUUAAAUAUACUAUAUUUAAAAAGAAUGCAAUACAUUCGUCAUUAAUGUUAAACAAGAUGCUAAAUUUUAUGUAUACCAAUGUAAAUGUCUAGUUCAAAUAAUAGACAAAUGCUUAUAUAGAAUCAAAUAGUCGAUGUUGGUAAAAUGCUUUGUGCAUUUUUAGAAAUAAAGAAAUUUGAUUGAUAUCCUUUUCUAUCUUUCAAAUAAUAUAUUUGAAGGUUUCGCACCAACUUUCAGGUCAAAUACCAUCUACCAUUGGCAAUCUACCAUUAUUGAGUACUCUACAACUCUCUUCCAACAAAUUAAUCGAUAAGCUUUAGUUCCAUUCUCCAUCUGUAACUUGAAAAACCUUAAUACUCUUCUCCGCUCAACUAAUUAUUAUUCUUAUCAUCGUUAUACUUAACAACAUGGAACUUGACUUUGUUGACUUCAUUAUUCUCUAGGUACUAUUCCGAAAGAGAUUGGAAAUCUUCAUAAUUUGCAGGAAAUGUUGUUGGAUUCCAAUGAACUUAGCGGAUCAAUCCCGAGAGAAGUGGGGAACAUGACAGCUCUUCGCAACUUAUGGCUCCAGAAUAAUACUUUAAGUGGUAUGAUUUAUUAUUCACCUAGCCAUAUGUUUAGCUCCUCAAGCUAGCUCCUGUGUUAUCUUCUUUUUUUCAUACAUUGUGUUGUUAUUUUAUGUUCUUCAUAAUUUCUCCUCUUUUCAGGUCCAAUACCAUCUACUAUCAGAAACCUCUCUAAUUUGCAAGACUUAUAUCUUAGUUCAAACAAAUUUAGUGGUGAGCUUACAAUCAAUUGUCAAAGUCAUAUAAUUGUGUCUUUCACAAAUUUAUAAAUGACUUUUCCUUAUAACAUUAAUUAGGACUAGUAAGAAAUCUGAAAUAAUAGUAAGAAAUAUGAAAUACGCUAAACCUUCCAGCUGAUCGAAUCGCGUAUUUUACUUAUUAUUGUUAUGAUCGUUAUACUUAAGAAUAUGGAACUUGACUUUGAUGACUUCAUUAUUCUCCAGGUACUAUUCCGAAAGAACUUGGGAACAUGGAAGCACUACAGUUUUUAUACCUUCAAAACAAUGCUUUAACCGGUAAGAUUUCUAACUCUUGUGGAGUUUUACACAUUUUCAAAUGUUUCCUAAUUUUCAUGUAUAUUUAGCAUUUACAACCAUUGUGAGACCUUUAACUUCUUCUCAAAUCUAUAUUUGACUUUUCCAUAUAACAUUUACAGCUAUGUUCUUCUCAAAUCAAUAUUGUUCUUUGUCUUCCAUUGAUUAGUGGAAUAAAUAUCAUUAUACUUAAACAGUGUACAGCUCAAUCUCCCAUCCGAUCAAAUCACGUGUUUUUACUUAUUAUUGUUAUGAUCGUUAUACUUAAGAAUAUGGAACUUGACUUUGAUGACUUCAUUAUUCUGCAGGUACUAUUCCGAAAGAGAUUGGAAAUCUUCAUAAUUUGCAGGUCAUGUGGUUGGAUUCCAACGAACUUAGCGGAUCAAUCCCGAGAGAAGUGGGGAACAUGACAGCUCUGGCCAGCUUAAGCCUCGGCAAUAAUAGUUUAAGUGGUAUGAUUUAUUAUCACCUAGCCACAAGUUUAGCUCCUCUAGCUAGAUUGCGAGUUAAUUUCUUUUUCUCAUAUUUCAUUUGAUCUUCCUUUAAUUAUGUUGUCUUUGAAGUUGGUAGGGGUCAUUCAUUGUGUUGUUAUUUUAUGUUAUGCAUAAUUUCUCCUCUUUUCAGGUCAAAUCCCAAUCGAAGUGGGGAACAUUACAACUAUUGUCGGCUUAUACCUCUACGAAACUAAUUUAAGUGGUAUGAUUUAUUAUUGAGCUUGCCACAAGUUUAUCCCUUUUUUUGUCCUACUUUUGCUCUAGCAACGUUGUGUGUGAUUUAUUCAGGUAAAAGAUAGUAUAUUGUUUGAUAAGUCAAAUUAAACACAUGCAAACGUAAAAGAAGUUUAAUAGGGUUUUCGGAUUUGUUAUCACAAUUAUAAAUUCGAAUAGAAUAAUAUUUGAUAAUAUUGGACAAUGUUAGAUACUUCGUCCACAAAAAAUAGUCAUAGAAGGGGACGAUACGGGUUUAGAGUUAGACGAUUUUUGGGACUGUAACUUAAGUCGAUUUGGAAAUUAGGACAAAAAAAUUUUGAGGUUGUAAACACUAAUUAAUAAGUGUUGCAUCUGCUGGACAUUUAUCGGUCAUUAUCAAAUUUUUGGGCUUACACGCAUGGACCAAACAGAAGACAACCCACACGAAAGGGUUGAUUAUGUGGCAAGUACGUCACUUUUAGGACUCCAGAUAGGAUGUCAUGUGUUUGGUCCGUGCGGGAAAGUCCGAAAAUUCGAUAAUCGGUCGAGAAAUAUCUGCGAGUGCAAUGCUUAUUAAUUAGUGUUCUAUUUUUACAAGUCUGGAAGUUUUUGUCCUAAUUUCUAAAUUAACCGAAGUUAUUGUCCUAAAAAAUUCUCUAACUCCGGGUUUUAAUAAAAAUAGUUGAGUGUAUUAAUUGUAAGUGGAGAAAAUGUCCCACUUAAAAAGUAAUGUUCAUAAUCAUAAAUAACUGUUUUGUGAGUGGAGAUUGAGGUCCACCAUGUAAUAGAAUGUUUCCAAAAUUAGAAAGAGACUAAUUUUUGUGAACAUCCCAAAAUGGCGAAUAAUGAUUAUUGUGAACGAAGUAUAUUAUUUUACAAUCGGCAUGAUUUAAAAAGACAUGUCCCGCAUGUUUAAUAUUAGAACUCUUUGUCGCUCACACACAAAUUUCCUCCAGGUACUAUUCCGAAAGAGAUUGGCCAUCUUAAUAAUUUAGAGAGAUUGUGGAUGUAUUCUAACAAAUUUAGUGGAUCAAUCCCAAGAGAAGUGUGGAACAUUACAGCUCUUGUCGACUUAUACCUCUACGAUAAUACUUUAAGCGGUAUGAUUUCUUAUUUAGCUAGCCACAAGUUUAUCCCUUUUUUUACUUUUUCUCUAGCAACGUUGUGUGUGAUUUAUUCAGGUAAUAGAUAGUAUAUUGUUUGAUAGUCAAAUUAAACAGAUGCAAAGUAAAAGAAGUUUAAUAGGGUUUUCGGAGAGCUUUUAUUCAGGUAUAAGAUAAUACUUCCUCCGUCCAUAAAAAAUAGUCAUAGAAGGGGACAACACGGGCUUUAGAGUCAGAGGAUUUUUUAGGAUAGUAACUUAAGUCGAUUUGGAAAUUAGGAUAAAAAAUUUUGAGCUUGUAAAAAUAGGAUACUAAUCAAUAGGUGUUGCACCUGCAAGAUAUUUAUCUGCCAUUAUCAAAUUUUCGGGCUUACCCGCACGGACCAAACACAUGACAACCGGCACGGAGGGGUUGAUAAUGUGGCAAGCACGUCAAUUUUAGGGAUCCAGAUAGGAUGUCAUCUGCUUGGUCCGUGCGGGAAAGUUCGAAAAUUCGAUAAUUGAUCGAGAAAUAUCAUGCGGGUGCAAUUCUUAUUGAUUAGUGUCCUAUUUUUACAAGCCCGAAAAUUUUUAUCCUAAUUUCCAAAUUUACCUAAGUUACUGUCCUAAAAUUAUUCCAAAAUUAGAAAGAGACUAAUUUUUGUGGAAGUCCCAAAAUGGCAAAUAAUGAUUAUUGUGAACGGAUGAAGUAUAUUAUUUUACAAUCGGCAGGAUUUAAAGAGACAUGUCCCGCAUGUCCAGUAAAUAUAUACUUUCUCCUUCCAUGAAUGAACUUCCUAUUUUUCCUUUUAAGGAUGUCAAAAAAAAAAAAAAAAAAAAACUUUCUACCUAUUUUUGGACUAUAUGUGUAAUACUUCAUUACCUUUAUUUUUCACCUUUUUUCUCCACUCUCAAUAUCAAUAAUUUUUUCUUCAUUCUCAAUAUAUUCAACAACUUUUUUUCUACACUCUCUAUAGAAUCUAACUACUUAACUAGAUAAAUAGAAAUGGCAAUAACUCACUAACAUAAAUUAAAUUGGGUACAUAUCUCGUAAACUUUAAAUUCUAUAUAUAUGUUAUCAUGCAUACCAUGAGAUGUAUGUGUUUGAUAAAUCAAUAAACCUUAUACAAAUAAAUAAUUUUUGGACGUAAGAAUUUUAUCGAUGAUUAAUGGUAAUUUAUUAAUAUAUCGAUAAAUAUAAUUAAUUUAUAAAGCAUUUUCUUAAUUUCAGAAAUUAUAACUAAAUCAAGUUAUAAUGAGUAAAAACAAAGAGAGAUAAUAUUUAAAUUAAAUAAAUGGAUGUACCUAUCAAGUCAUUGUGGUUGAUAUUACGGAAGAUCCUAAUGAUGAUCAAGGUGAAGAUAAUUCAACAAAUCAAUCAAAUUGUAUAAAAUAGUAUUCAUAAUUGUAAUAUAUUAAUAAUAUUAAUGGGACCUAUAUAUACAAUAAUCUGCGUCGGGCCGGAAUUCAGUCAUCGAGACAUUAAUAAAUAAGAAAAUUUUGACUUUAUGACGUAAAACAUUAAAAGGUUCAUAGGUUAGGGUGAUAAGUAUAUUUUCCAUGUACGUUUCAAUCUAGAAUUAAACUAACUUUUUGUGAUGAUUUGGAUAUAUAUUUGUAGGAGUUAUUCCACAAGAGAUACAUCAUCUUCAUAAUUUACUAAAUUUGGGCUUAAGUUUGAACAAGUUGUCGGGCCAAAUACCAUCCUCCAUUUGUAACUUGACAUCCCUUGAGUAUCUUGUUCUCUCAAAAAACAUUUGGAAGGAACAAUUCCACAAUGCUUGGAAACUUGAGCUCUUUGGCCAUCUUUGGUCGUCGCAUUCCAUCAACAUUUAGCAAGGAGUGUAGUCUUGUGUCCAUCAAUUUGAAUGAUAAUAAAUUGCAAGGACCAUUACCUAAAUCCUUGAUCAAUUGCCAAAGUCUACAAGGCCUCGACAUUGGAAAUAAUAGAAUAGAAGACGAAUUUCCCUUUUGGAUGGAAGUCCUUCCAGACCUUCGAGUGCUGGUCUUGAGGUCUAACAAGUUUUAUGGUAACAUGUCACUUCCUUCACAAACCAAGAUUCCAUUUCCUAAUUUGCAAGUUUUAGAUAUAUCUCAGAAUAGAUUUGUGGGUUCUCUGCCUCAAACAUAUUUCAAGAAUUUCAGAGCAAUGAUAAAUAAAACAAACUGGCCAAUUACCGACUACUUUGGUUCAUAUUUGGGGAUGAGGCUCACCUUGAAAGGUUUGGAUCAAUUAUUAGAGAGAUUGUUGUCAGACUUUACAGCAAUUGACUUAUCCUCCAAUAGGUUUUCUGGGAGUAUUCCAGAUUCCAUAGGAAAUCUUAAGAUUCUCAAAUACUUGAAUUUGUCCAACAAUAACCUCAUAGGAAAUAUACCUUCAUCUCUUGCAAAUAUGAGUGAACUUGAAUCCUUGGACUUGUCAGAGAACAAGUUGGAUGGAGAAAUUCCAGGUGAUUUGACGAGGUUGACAUUUCUUGCGAAAUUAAACCUUUCAAUGAAUAAUCUUGUGGGGCAAAUACCACAGUCUAAGCAGUUUUCCACAUUUGAGAAUGAUUCAUACGUGGGAAACUUGGGACUGUGUGGAGUUCCGUUGACAAGAAAAUGCAAUGAAGAGAACGGGCAUCAGAUGCAGCCAGAAGAAGAAGAUGAUGACUAUUAUGGAUUUAUAGAUGGAUUCGGAUGGAGAAGUGUGGUGAUGGGAUAUGGAAUUGGAUUCAUAGUUGGGAUUGGAAUUGGUUACAUCAUUAUUAGAAAUGGAAGGCCAAGAUGGUUAGUGGAAUUAUUUUUCGGUGUUUAAUGUAAUAAUAAUAAGAAGAGGAGGCGUGUGUGGAACAUGAAUCCAGUUGAUUUAUUGGAAGCUGAUUCUGGGGAUAUUCAUCAAACAGGUGGCGAGCACAAACUUGCUUUCUAAUAGAGAUACCCAUUCAGUCCGCCACCAGUCAAGACUUUGAGUCUCCAACAAAGUUAGCAGGGAUUUGGUCUUGUUUCUGGUUUUAUUUAUGGUUUAUGACAUAGGUGUAUCAUUCAAUCAAUGCAGCUUUGAUUUUUAUUUCUAUGUGAUAUUGAAGUACUAGUACUAAAUAAUAUAUGGAAUUCUGCAUCUCAGCAUUGAUGAGUUUGAUAACUUGAUUAUGCAUUUUCAGAAGUUUAUUUUUUGUCUCCAACAUUGGUUUUUGAUGUUUUUGCUAAAGCUUGUUUUUGGUCCAGUAAUUAUUGUUAUAAGAAAAAAUAAUUAUUGAUAUAAAUAAAAGUAAUGUUUCUAGAUUAUUACAUUAGUUCCGAUAAUUGCUACUUUAAUUUAUGAGAAUUUGUACUUUUAAUUAUUUGAUCAAAUAAUUAUUGGUGUAACCAAAAGUAAUAAUUGUUGUAAUAUACAAAGUAAUUAUUUUAAUGAAGAAAUGUCAUAAACAUUACAUUUCUUCACAAUAAUUUUUGUACGUAAAAGUAAUUAUUGGUGUGAAGAAAAGUAAUGUUAUAUUCACAAGUUAAUACUUUUAUUCAUAAUUAUUUGGUCAAGUAAUUAUUAUCGUAACAAAAAGUAUUGUUAUAAUGNCAAAAAUACUACACGUGAAUCUAGUUGGAACAGAUUCUUUUAAGCCUAUGAACUGUUCGACAAAAUUCCGAAACGAAGACGACGCAGAGAAAAUACCUCAAAACAUUUAUCAUAUCAUAUGAGUUGAAACGGCCUCAAACUCAAAUUGAUUUGGGGAAAUGAUAAAACACCACAAAGGCAAAUCGUUGGUUAACUUAUAAAUCAUUUGUUUGUAUUUGUUGCUUAAUUUAUAAAUAAUGUUUUAUACAUUUUUUUCUUUUUGGCUCUUGUUUUAUGCAAAAUAUCUUACUUCUUAUUCUAUAUAAAAGUAGAAAAAAAAAUUGAGUUUGAGUUUGGACACGCACUAUGUAACUAUAUUAACAUUUAUUGAAACAAAAAAAUUAUUUAUUCAGUGGUUGAAUAUCUUGCAUUUCUGCUGUUUAUAAGGAGAUUGUAUUUUGCAGUGUUUCUAUAGCGAAUAGCGAGCUGUUGGAACUCUGUUUUGUGUAAUCAGUUAGCUAAGUAGAAGUUUUAGAAGGCUGUCUAGUUUAGUGGUUGAAUAACUUUUGUUCUGCAUUUUUUGAUGAAAUUGUUUUUAUUGGCUUUUUAAGUCAUUCCUUUUAUCAGAAAAUUACACACACACAAUCACACGACACAAGGAAAUUCAUAAGAAUAAAUGACGAAUGUUUUAAAUGUGAUGAAUUGUAGAGUGGCUGAGCAAAUUAGAUGGCUUAAGCUACUACAUACAACACGUAAAUCUUUCUUUAAAUUAAAAAGUCAAUAUCUGAAAUUUUUUAUAAAAACAUGUGGGCUGGUAUGAACUUAAAAUUGUGGUGAUAAAAAUGGGCCUGAAAAACAUAUUAUACUAUCUCCACUCAAUAUUAAGUAAGGCCCAAUCUAGAUAAGCUGAAAAAUAUUUUUUCGUAGGCCCAAAUUAAAUUAAAAUCUCUAGAAUUUAAAUUUCCAUAUUUAAGACAAAAUCUCCAAUUUUAAAGCCUUACAUCUAACUGGGGGUGCGAUUAGACAAAUUCAUAAACUAAAACAUAUAAUAAAAUUUUCAAUGACUUCAUAAUAUUUAAACUUUAAAUAACUCAAACAUAAAUAAUUUUAAAUAAAUAAAUUAGUUUCGGGCUGUCACAUACUUGAAAUGAAACGACUUUGUUUCUUAUUAAUUUAAAGGGGUUAUUGCCGGAAAAUACAUGUAGUUUGUCAAUUUUCUGGUUUAUAACAUGACCUUAUAAUUUGACCAGAAAAUACACCAAUUUUCAAUUUAAUCGCAAUUAUAACAUGACUUUGUAGCUUGACCAGAAAAUACACCAGUUUUCAAUUUAAUUGUAAUUAUAACAUGACUUUAUAAUUAAUUUAGUNNNNNNNNNNNNNNNNNNACUUAAUUUUUAUAAAAAUAAAUCAAUCAAUUAACAAUAUUUUAUACAUAACAAUUUAAUAUGAAUUUACAAUAAAUAUUAAUACAUCUAUGAUGAACAAUAAUCUAAAUAAGGUCAUGUUAUAAUUUAGAUUAAAUUAAAACUUGGUGUAUUUUCUGGUCAUACUAUAAAGUCAUGUUAUAAUUGCAAUUAAAUUGAAAAUUGGUGUAUUUUCUGGUCAAAUUAUAAGGUCAUGUUAUAAACCAAAAAAUUGACAAACUACAUGUAUUUUCCGGCAAUAACCCCUAAUUUAAAAUCCCUCUCUUACACAUGAAAUAACCUAAGUCAAAAUCCCUCUCCUGUGCUUGGAAAUUCAUUGAUGGAUUUCAGCGCCAUUCAUGAAUUCGAGGACGAGCGUGAGUUGUUGUCCAUGGACAUGGCUAUCUUAUUAUUAAAAUAUCAUGGAAAAAAAUCAGAAUUUGUGGAAAUUUUGUGUAUUUUACAGCUUAUUAUUAUUAUUAUUAUUAUUUACUCAAAAUGACUGGAAUUCAAAUUGCAACAAUUGCUCUAUUUUCAAGGGGCAAUUGUGUAGAAUUUGGUUUUAAAUUGCAAAGUGUGAAUUACCCUUUAUUAUAUCUUAUUCAAAGAUCACAAAAAGAGGAUUUAAAGUCUCCCAAAUCUAUUAACAAAAUAGAGAAUAUCUUCUGCUUUUUCACGUUAUUCUAUAGUGCUAUUUUAAUAUGAAUUUUAGGGUCAUUUUUUAUGAUUUGAGUUAGACUCAAUCUCCCAAAUCGAACAGAAAGUAGAGAGUAUUUGCAAUAUUAAAUUGAAGAUCAAAUUGGUAGACAGCUGGAAUUGUUUGAAAGUUUGAACAAAGCAAAACAUGUUUGGACGUUGACGUUGACUUGCCUUGACUUUAGCUUUCAAUAUAAAUAGUCUUUGUCUUUUUCACACUCAUCAUUAUUUUCUUCGUCUUCGUCUUCGUCUUCGUCUUUCCAGUGGGAAAAUGAUUAUUUUAGCUUUGAAUAAUGCUUCCCAUUUGUCCAUCAUAUCCACACACACACUAUAUAUACAUGUACAUGGAUUUCGUAGUUCAAUAUACUAAAAAAUUACGUCAAAAUCAAGCCAAAAAAUGGAAAAAUCUCCUCUUUUUCUCAUCCUUGCACUACUCUUACCAAUCCAUUAUUUGAUGGAUUAUAGCUCUGCCAAAAACGAUAUCAACACCGAUCGUUCUUCACUCCUUGCCUUAAAAUCUCAAAUCACUUCAGACCCUCAAAACAUAUUGACCAAAAAUUGGAGCACUGAAGCCAUUGUUUGCAGUUGGAUCGGAGUUACUUGUGAUUCACGUUACAAUAGGGUUACUCAGCUGAAUAUAUCGUACAUGGGUCUUGUCGGAACCCUCCCACCAGAAAUCGGGAAUCUUUCUUCUCUCGUCUCUUUAGAAGCGAAUCAUAACUCUUUUCAUGGCCCCAUUCCCCCAUCUAUCUUCAACAUGUCAUUUCUAGAAGUUUUGGAUCUACGGAAUAAUAGUUUGUCCAGUAGUUUGCCUCUUGAUAUGUGCAUACACAAUCUGCAUAGACUCAAGUGGCUUCGUAUAUCUUACAAUGAGAUGUAUGGGGAAAUACCAUCGAGUUUGGGGCAGUGUUCACAGCUUGAGUAUCUUUCUUUGUACAAUAACAAUUUCACUGGAUUUGUGCCCAGAGAAAUUGGGAACUUGACGAAGCUUCAAAUAUUGUACCUUGAUGUAAAUAAAUUGACUGGUAAGUUGAUUCCUAUAAUUAUGAGGUCAAAUCAUGCAUUUAAUGCCUUAUUAUUUAAUUCUUUAAUUUGUGUGCUUUGCGUUUGAGAGUCAAAUUUAAACUUUAUAUCGGGUGAUAAGUAAUAUUUUUCCCUAUACGUUUCAAUCUAGAAUUAGCUAGACUAACUUUUUGUGAUUAUUUGGAUAUUUGAAGGAAUUAUUCCACAAGAGAUUCAUCAUCUUCAUAAUUUACGAGAGUUGGACUUGAGUUUGAACAAGUUGUCAGGCACUUUGCCUUCAGAAAUUGGGAACAUGAAAGCACUACAGGAUUUAUACCUUGAAAACAAUGCUUUAAACGGUAAGAUUUCUAACUCUUGUAGAGUUUUACACAUAUUCAAAUGUUUCUUAAUUAAUUUUCAUGUAUAUUUAGCAUUUACAUCCUUUGUGAGAUCUUUAACUUCUCAAAUCUAUAUUUGACUUUUCCACACAGCAUUUACAGCUAUGUUCUUCUCAAAUCAAUAUUGUUCUUUGUCUUCCAUUGAUUAGUGGAAUAAAUAUCAUUAUACUUAAACAGUGUAUAGCUCAAUCUCCCAUCCGAUCAAAUCACGUGUUUUUACUUAUUAUUCUUAUGAUAGUUAUACUGAAGAAUAUGGAACUUGACUUUGAUGACUUCAUUAUUAUCCAGGUACUAUUCCGAAAGAGAUUGGAAAUCUGUAUAAUUUACGGUUUAUGUGGUUGUAUUCUAACAAACUUAGCGGAUCAAUCCCGAGAGAAGUGGGGAACAUGACAGCUCUGGGCAGCUUACACCUCGAGAAUAAUAGUUUAAGUGGUAUCAUUUAUUGUUUCCCUAGCCACAAGUUUAGCUCCUCAAGCUAGCUUGCGAGUUAAUUUAUGUUAUGCAUAAUUUCUCCUCUUUCCAGGUCCAAUGCCUAAAUCCUUGAUCGAUCAAAUGUCAAAGUCUAAAUAAAAAUAACAAUAACUCACUAACAUAAAAUAAAUAGUGUACAUAUCACGUAAACAUUAAAUUCUAUAUAGUAUAUGUUAUCAUACCUUGAGAUGUAUGUGUUUGAUAAAUUAGUAUGACCCCCAAAUUUCUCAAAAAUUAUAAUAAACCUUAUACAAAUAAAUAAUUUUGCGGCCUAAGAAUUUUAUCGAUGAUUAAUGGUAAUUUAUUAAUAUAUCAAUAAAUUAACAACUUUUUAGUUUAUAAAGUAUUUUCUUAAUUUCAGAAAUUACAAUAAAUCAAGUUAUAAUGAGUAAAAACAAAGAGAGUUAAUAUUUAAAUUAAAUAAAUGGAUGUAUCUAUCAAGUCAAUGUGGUUGAUAUUACAGGAGAUCCUAAUGAUGUUCAAGUUGAAGAUGAUUCAACAAUAAAUUCAAAUUAUAAGAAGUUAAAAUAGUAUUCAUAAUUGUAAUAUUUUAAUAAUAUUAUUUUAAUUAUAAUAUUAAUGGGACCUAUAUAUACAAUAAUCUGCAUCGGGUCGGAAUCCAGUCAUCGAGACAGUAAUCAAUAAUUAGAAAAUUUUGACUUUAGGAUGCAAACAUUAAAAGGUUCAUAGGUUAGGGUGAUAAGUACUCCCUCCGUCCACGAAUAAAUACUCAUAUUCUUUUUGUCCGUCGAAAUGUAUCCCACACAAUCCUUUAAUUAAUACUCUUAAAAAGUGGGAUCCUUAUUCUACUCACACUACACUCAAUACAUUGCUUAAAACUCGUGCCGUCCACAAAUGGGUACUCAUUUCGUGGAUAGAGUGAAUAAUAUUUUCCAUGUACGUUUCAAUCUAGAAUUAAACUAACUUUUUUUUGAUGAUUUUAAUAUAUAUUUGUAGGAGUUAUUCCACAAGAGAUUCGUCAUCUUGAUAAUUUACAAGAGUUGGACUUGAGUUCAAACAAGUUGUUUGGCACUUUGCCACCAACCAUUUUCAACAUGUCUUCCUUGACAUUGAUUGACUUAUCAAGUAACACACUUAGCGGGGCAUUGCCUUCAGAAAUUGGGAACAAGAAAGCAAUACUAGAGUUUUUAAACCUUCAAAACAAUUCUUUAACCGGUAAGAUUUCUAACUCUUGUAGGGUUUUACACAUAUUCAAAUGUUUCUUAAUUUUCAUGUAUAUUUAGCAUUUACCGCCAUUGUGAGACCUUUAACUUCUUCUCAAAUCUAUAUUGACUUUUCCAUAUAGCAUUUACAGGUAUGUUUCUGAAAUCUAUAUUGUUCCUUGUCUUCCAUUGAUUAGUGGAAUAAAUAUCAUUAUAGUUAAAUAGUACACAGCUCAAAAUUUCCUCAAGCUAGCUUGCAAGUUAAUUUCUUUUUUUUGGGAUUCCCACAAACUUAGUGGAGCUUUGCACGCACAAAUUUGGAAUAUUAGAACUCUUUGUCGCUCACACCUUUUUAACAUUUAUUUAACUUUUCCGCCAGGUACUAUUCCUAAAGAGAUUGGAAAUCUUCAUAAUUUGCAGGACAUGUGGUUGUAUUCCAACAAACUUAGUGGAUCAAUCCCGAGAAAAGUGGGGAACAUGACAGCUCUUGACCAGUUAGGGCUCGACAAUAAUACUUUAAGUGGUAUGAUUUAUUAUCACCUAGCCACAAGUUUAGCUCCUCAAGCUGGCUUGCGAGUUAAUUUCUUUGUCUCUUAUUUCAUUUGAUCUUCUUUAAUUAUGUUGUCUUAUUUCAUUUCGUGUUGUUAUUUUAUGUUAUGCAUAAUUUCUCCUCUUUUCAGGACCAAUGCCUAAAUCUUUGAUCGAUCAAUUGUCAAAGUCUAAAUAAAAAUAACAAUAACUCACUAACAUAAAAUAAAUAGUGUACAUAUCACGUAAACUUUAAAUUCUAUAUAUNGAUCAUAGACUCCUUCUUUAAGUAGAAAUAAUCCAUGAUUAUCUUGUUGAACUUUAAUGUCGAUCCUUUAAAGAUAAAAAGUCCAUGACAAGCUUGAAGUCUAUCCUUAAUAUGAAAGAAGUCCACAACGAAUAGAUCUUUGAGGAGAGAUUGAAUACUUCAACAAAACCUUGUGCAAAUUUGAAAAGGUAUCUUUUGAGAAUAUUCUGGUACUGACGGUAUCACAUCAGGUAGCUCUGAUGGUAUCAAUUGAUAGCAAAAUGUCUAUAGAAAUGACGACAACAUAACAGAGUAAACAAUACUCUAACAAAUAUCAUUAUACUUAAAUAGUAUACAUACAGCUCAAUCUCCCAACCGAUUGAAUCGUAUAAUUUUACUUAUUAUUGUUAUGAUCGUUAUACUUAACAAUAUGGAACUUGACUUAAUUUGAUGACUUCAUUAUUCUCCAGGUACUAUUCCGAAAGAAAUUGGAAAUCUUCAUAAUUUGAGGUGGAUGUGGUUGCAUUCUAAUAAACUUUGCGGAUCAAUUCCGAGAGAAGUGUGGAACAUGACAGCUCUGGGCAGCUUACACCUCGGCUAUAAUAGUUUAAGUGGUAUCAUUUAUUAUCAUCUAGCCACAAGUUUAGCUCCUCAAGCUAACUUGCGAGUUAAUUUCUUUUUCUCAUAUUUCAUAUGAACUUCUUUAAUUAUGUGGUAUGUUGUCUUUGGAGUUGGUAGGGGUCAUUCAUUGUGUUGUUGUUUUAUAUUAUUCAUGAUUUCUCCUCUUUUCAGGUCCAAUACCAUCUACCAUUGGAAACCUAUCACGUUUAUGGCACUUAAAUCUUGCUUCCAACAAAUUCAGUGGUGAGUUUCCAUCCUCCAUCAGCAACUUGACAUAUUCUUUGAAAUACUUAAUCUCUAGUACAUAACAGUUUGGAAGGUUUUCGAAACUUUAGCAAAUCUUUGAUGAUCUUUCGUUUAAACACAAACCAAUUUAGUGGUAUUAAAUUGCAAGGACCAUCAACAUUUACCAAUGGUAGUAAUCCUUUUCAGUCAUUUUUUUAGGGGAUCUUUUCCGGUCAAUUUAAGUGGUAAUAAAUUGCAAGCAACAUUACCUAAAUCUUUGAUCAAUUGUCAAAGUCAUAUAGUUGUGUAUUUCACAAAUUUAUAAAUGACUUUUCCAUAUAGUAUUCAUUAGGUCUAGUAAGAAAUCUGUUGAAAUUAAAUAUACUAUAUUUAGAAAUAAUGCAAUACAUUCGCCAUUAUGUUAAACAAGAUGUUGAACUUUAUGUAUACCAAUGUAAAUGUCUAGUUCAAAUUACAGACAAAAGCUUAUAUAGAUUAAAAUUGUCGAUGUUGGUAAAAUGCUUUGUGCUUUUUUAGAUAUAAAGAAAUUUGAUUCAUAUCAUUCUCUAUCUUUCCAAUAAUAUAUCUGAAGGCCUCGUACCAACUUUCAGGUCAAAUACCAUCCUCCAUUUGUAACUUGACAUCCCUUGAGUAUCUUGUUCUCUCAAACAACACUUUGGAUGGAUCAAUUCCACAAUGCUUUGGAAACUUGAGCUCUUUGGCCAUCUUUCAUUUAAAUGAAAAUCAGUUUAAUGGUCUCAUUCCAUCAACAUUUAGCAAGGGGUGUAUCUUGGUCAUAAUUUGAAUGUAAUAAAUUGCAAGGACCAUUACCUAAAUCCUUGAUCAAUUGCCGAAGUCUACAAGGCCUCGACGUUGGAAAUAAUAGAAUAAAGACGAAUUUCCCUUUUGGAUGGAACCUUCCAGACCUUCGAGUGUUGGUCAUGAGGUCUAACAUGUUUUAUGGCAACAUGUCACUUCCUUCACAAACCAAGAUUCCAUUUGCUAAUUUGCAAGUUUUAGAUAUAUCUCGGAAUAGAUUAGUGGGAUCUCUACCUCAAAGAUAUUUCAAGAAUUUUAAAGCAAUGAUAGAGGAAAAUGAGACAAUCACAUCAAAUGAAUUUGAAAAUUAUGUGGAGAUGAGGCUCACCUUGAAAGGUUUGGAUCAAUUAUUACAGAGAUUGUUGUCAGCCUUUACAACAAUUGACUUAUCCUCCAAUAGGUUUUCUGGGAGUAUUCCACAUUCCAUAGGAAAUCUUAAGAUUCUCAAAUACUUAAAUUUGUCCCACAAUAACCUCAUCGGAAAUAUACCUCCAUCUCUUGGAAAUAUGAAUGAACUUGAGUCCUUGGACUUGUCAGUGAACAAGUUGAAUGGAGAAAUUCCAAGUGAAUUGACAAGGUUGACAUUUCUUGCGAAAUUAAACCUUUCAAUGAAUAAUCUUGUGGGGCGAAUACCACAGUCUAAGCAGUUUUCCACAUUUGAGAAUGAUUCAUAUGUGGGAAACUUGGAACUGUGUGGAGUUCCGUUCACGAGAAAAUGCAACAAGGAGAAGGGACAACGGCCAGAAGAAGAAGAAGAUGAUGAUGAUGAUGAUGAGUCUGGAUUUAUAGAUGGAUUUGGUUGGAGAAGUGUGGUGAUGGGAUAUGGAAGUGGAUUCAUAGUGGGAAUUGGAAUUGGUUACAUUAUUAUUAGAAAUGGAAGGCCCAGAUGGUUAGCUGAAUUCUUUUUUGGCGUUGGAUAUAAUUAUAAGAUGAAGAAGAGAUGCAGCAAUGCUACACCAACACGCCGCAGGAGAACUUAAUUGAAGCCCAAAAGAAUUCAUUUGUUCUUCAGUUGGUGUGUUUUGGUCGAUUUGAACUUUGGAGUUUAUGAAAUAUUGUUGUAUGUUCGAAUUUGCGAAGUUUUAAUUUUAUCUUGUUUCGAUAUAUUUUUUAGAUUAAAUCAGUUUUGUGAUUUUAUUUGGUAAAUUUUUAGAUUUGUUAAAAAUGACUUAGUUUUAGUGACAUAGAACACUUGAUUGUCCACGCUAAUAAUUUUUUUAGAUCAUUCUGUUUGAGCAGAUUUUUGCACGCCUACGAACUGUUUGAUAAAAGUCCGAAAUGAAUUCUCGGAGUUGUUCAGGUUAACGCAUAAUUCGCUCACCAAAGCUAACGCAUACUUUUAACAAUUUAAAUAGAUAUUUAUUGGGAAAAUUCUUAAAUCAAAUGAUAGUAUUUAGUUAAAUAAAUAUAUAUUUACAAUUUCUUAAUUUCCUAUAACAUGCCCAACAUAUUCUACCCGAGUUGACGCUACAUUAAAUGUAAACACUUUUAGGAGCUUAUAAGCUCUUGAUGAUGUUUGACAAAAUGAGCUAUUACACAACUUAUAAGGUAACCAAGAGUAUGGUAUUCCGUGUGCGUGUGUUGCCAAGCAGUAAGAGCUUAAUGCCUAAGGCCAAAAGUCUUGGAUUCGAGUCCCUUGUGGCGCGACCUUUUAAAUUUCUUUAUUUAUAAAAAAUAAGAUUUAAGUUAUUGCACCUAAAUAAUUUUUUGAUAAAUUCAAAAAGAACUUCUUAUUUUUUAAAUCUUAUAAGCAACAUUUAUUUUAUAAAAGUUACCCUACUAUUAUUUUUUAUUUCUAUCAUAUACUCUUUCAAUUUUAUAUCCCUAACUUUGUCGAUAUUAAACUCAUCAUUUUCUGCAUCAAAAAUCACCAAAUUAUAUAUUAAAUUACAUUAAAGCACAAAAUAAUCUAAGAAUAUGAGCAACUCAAAUACACACUUUAAGUUUCAAAUUAUCUUACCCAGGAUGCCAUAUCGUAUCUCAACUUCCUCCUCUUUCUCAUAAAACAACUUUGUUUUGACUAUUCCGCCACUUACUUCUUAUUUUAUACAAGUAAACAACUUUGUUUUCUUUUAAGGGGUGCCUUUACUUUGGUGUUAAAAUUUUCAUUGGAAAAUGAUGGAUAAGAAAAGAUGAGAAAAUAUUAUUUUUUCUUCUUUUUUUAUGUUAUGUUUAUUAGAGAUGAAAAGAUGAGAGAGUAUUGGAGAGAAAAAAAUGUGAAAAUGAGCUGCCCAAGAAAAUAUUUGAUUCUGCCCGGAGAAAAUUUUACAUUAUAGUAAAUAUAUGAAAACGGUGAAAAAUAUGUGAAAAUAUAUUUUUUUUCUCUCAUUUUCCAUCAAAGUAAACGCACCCUAACAGGUAACUGUGAUUCACGUUAUAGUAGACAAACUCAUUUAAAUAUCUCGCACAUGGAACUAGAAAUCAAAAAUCAUUCUUGCAUAAUUGAGUUUGGGUCAAUGUUCACAACUUGACUUGUGCCUACACAAAUUGGCAGCAUCAUGUGUGACACACAUUUUGUCUUUUUCUUCAGCAAAGUCCAUUCAUUACUGAAGCUUCUUAAUUUCAUUUUUCAUUUGUGGGACCCAAAAAAUGCGGCUAUAUUUGUAGUAGUUUCAUUUUCACUCGCUUUUGCCUCCAAAACUCUUAUUUUCUUCUUAAUUCUUUGCCCCAUUCACACUCCAACUUAAUUAAUUAAAAAUUGAUUGGAGAAAUUCAUACAUUUUUGCCGUAGGACUUGGGAAAGAUUAUUUUUAGAUUUCAAUAUAAACAGCACAACUACAAUAUUAGCACUCUGCAUUCACAAUAUGAAGAGAGUUUCCACAUUUUUCCUACUUUCCCUACUCAUGGGGUUUUCUUGCCUUAGCCUUGCUAACACAGAUCAAAUCAAAAGUGAUGAAUCAUCACUUCUUGCCUUCAAAUCCCGCAUCACUUCAGAUCCUUCCAAUAUUUUUAAAAAUAAUUGGACCACCGGAACCUCUAUCUGCACGUGGAUGGGAGUUACUUGCGAUUCACGUUAUAGUAGGGUGACUGCUUUAGAUCUCUCGAAUAUGAGACUCGAAGGCAGCAUCCCACCAGAAAUCAUAAAUCUUUCUUUUCUUGUUUCUCUAGAUUUGAGUGUGAACUCUUUUCAUGGUCCCCUACCAAAGGAUAUUUGCAGGCACAACAACCUUCGAAGACUCAAAGAACUUUACUUGUACUCCAACAAAUUGAAGGGGGAGAUACCAUUGAGCUUGGGUGAAUGUCCACAACUUGAGAUUAUUGACUUGUCAGACAACAACUUUGGUGGACAUGUGCCUGCACAAAUUGGGAACAUCACACAGCUUAAGGAAUUACGCCUUAGUUGGAACAAUUUGACAGGUAUGGUCUUAUCUCAAUAAUGAGAAUUUAACUCGUUCGAGUUUUAAAAAAAAUUAGGCCACUAUUUUAGGGUGUGGUUUGAAAAAAUAGGCCAAUUUUUUCGAACUUGCAAAAAUAGGUCAAUUAUUUUAAAUUUUGACGUCCGUAAGCCACAUUUGAUUCUAAUCGGGCUAUUUAGGGCCAAAUAUGGCCUAUUGAUGCCGAAUUGGGGCAAAUGUGGCCAAAGAUGCUAAAAUUUAAAGUAAUUGACCUAUUUUUGCAAGUUCAAAAAAUAUUGACCUAUUUUUUUGCAAAUCGUUAUAAGAUAGUGACUGCAAAAAAUUUUAAACUCAACUGGUUUGAUCCCACUUUUCCGUUUCUAUUGGGAUUUCAUGAAAUGACUUGAUGAUAUAUGCCAUUCAGUUUCGUAUCUGACUUUACUCAAGACGUUCUAAAGUUCCAACUUUUCAAAGAAUUUUCAAAAAAUUAAUUAAGAGAAACUCCCAAGACAUUUUAGUUUACUCAGAAAAUUUGAAAACCACAUUUCCCCAACUUUUACUUGGUGAAAACAUGACUAAACAAUAAGGCUAAAAACAAGGAUUUUUACUUAUAGUUUGUCCAGAUACAUUCAAAGUGAAGUUUCUUAGCUUCGAUCUACGUACUUAAAUCUUAACCAAAUUUCAAUCAACUUCAUUCCAUACAUUCAUAAACAUAAUAGAUACAAGAUUUCAACAACUUCCUUCAAAAAUUAUGAAAUCAAGAUGCACAAAUCUUGCAAUUCUUACAUCUUCACACAUGUUUCUCAUAUCAUAUUGAAACUCAUACUUUCAUCUCCCAACCAAUCGAACCACGUAUUUCACUUAAUAUUGUUAUGAUGGUUAUACUUAACAAUAUGGAACUUGACUUUGAUGACUUCAUUAUUCUCCAGGUACUAUUCCGAAAGAGAUUGGAAAUCUUCAUAGUUUACAGAUCAUGCGUUGGGUUCCAACAAACUUAGCGGAUCAAUCCCGAGAGAAGUGUGGAACAUGACAGCUCUUAGCAGCUUACUGCUCGACAAUAAUAGUUUAAGUGGUAUGAUUUAUUGUUUCCCUAGCACAAGUUAGUUCCUCAAGCUAGCUCGUGAGUUAAUUUCUUUUUGUUGAUGUAUUUGGAUAUUUGUAGGAGUCAUUCCACAAGAGAUUCACCAUCUUCAUAAUUUACAAUGGUUGGCCUUGAGCUUGAACAAGUUGUCGGGCACUUUGCCAUCAUCAAUUUUCACAUGUCUUCCUUGACAGUGAUUCGCUUAUCAAGAACAUGUUUAGCGGGGCAUUGCCUUCAGAAAUUGGAAACAACAAGACAACAGCACUACAUGUUUUACACCUUAAAAACAAUACUUUAAGUGGUAAGAUUUCUAUCUCUUGGAGAUAUAGCAUUUACAGCUAUUGUGAGACCUUUAAGUUCUCAAAUCUAUAUUUGACUUUUCCAUAUAGCUGGUACGAGUCAUAUAUUGUGUUGUUAAUUUAUAUUAUGCAUAAUUUCUUCUCUUUUCAGGGCUAUUACCAUCUACUAUUGGAAACCUAUCAAGUUUGUACUACUUAAAUCUUGGUUCCAACAAGUUUAAUGGUGAGCAUUCAUCCUCCAUCUGCAACUUGACAUAUAUAGAGUAAAAUAGUCGAUUUUAGUAAGAUAUUGCUCUGUGCAUUUAUAUCUACUUAUCUAUUAUAUGAAUAUUUAUUUUUAUUCCAACACAGUUACAUAAACAUAUCAAAUAAAAUUAGUGGCAUGUCAUCAUCAUACUUAAUAAUUACAUAUAGCUCAAUCUCCUAACUAAAUCAUGCAUUUUACUUAGUAAUGUUAUUUUACUUAGUAAUUUAUUAUUCGGACACAAGUUUAGUAGUAACAUGUUGACUUGUAGUUGGUAGCUAGGAGUCAUACAUUGUGUUGUUAUUUUAUGUCAUGCAUAUUUUAUCCUCCUUUCAGGUCCAAUACCAUCUACCAUUGGAAACCUAUCAAAUUUGUACUACUUGAAUCUUGGUUCUAACAAAUUUCAUGGUGAGCUUUCAUCUUCCAUCUGCAGCAUGACAUUCCUUGAAAUACUUUUACUCUCUAGUAUAUAAUAGUUUUGAAGAAUCAAUUGCACAAGGUUUUCGAAACUUUAGCAAACUUUGAAUUUCAUUUAAACAAACCAGUUUAGUUGCCUCAUUCCAUCAACAUUUACCUAAAGAAUUUUAUGUGGUAAUAAAUUGCAAGGACCAUUACCUAAAUCCUUGAUCAAUUGCAAAAGUCUACAAGCAAUUUUAUUGGAUAGAUAUAUUUAUUUAUAAGCCCUAUCAAAUAGCUAUAAAUAUAUAUCAAAUAGAUUUAGUGUAAUAUUUAAUGAAUUAAUAUAUUUUUAUAAAUAUAUAAUAUUUUAUUUAUAAAAUUACCCUUAAAAUAAAAUAUGUAAUAAGAAUAUAAUAUGCAAUCUAUAUUUUAUGCCCAAAACACUUUUUAUAUUAGUAUAGAUAAAGAAAUUUGAUUUUUAUCCUUUUAUGUCUUUCAAAUAGUAUGUUUGUUACCAACUUUCAGGUCAAUUACCAUCUACCAUUGUGAAUAUUCUACCAUUGAAUUUUCUGCAACUCUCUUCCAACAAAUUAAUCGGAGAGAUUCCACUCUCCCUCUGUAACAUGACAUCCCUUCGGUAUCUUCUUCUCUCAACAAACAAUUUGGAAGGAAUAAUUCCACAAUGCUUUGGAAACUUCAGCUAUUUGGCCAUCUUUCAUUUAAAUGAAAAUAAGUUUAGUGGUCUCCUUCCAUCAACAUUUAGCGAGAGGUGUAGUCUUGUUUCCAUCAAUUUGAAUGGUAAUAAAUUGCAAGGACGAUUACCUAAAUCCUUGAUCAAUUGCGAAAGCCUACAAGCACUCGACAUCGGAAAUAAUAGAAUACAAGAUGAAUUUCCUCUCUGGAUGGAUGUCCUUCCAGACCUUCGAGUGUUGGUCUUGAAGUCUAACAAGUUUUAUGGGAACAUAUCACUUCCUUCACAAACCAAGAUUUCAUUUCCUAAUUUGCUAAGUUUUAGAUAUAUCUCGGAAUAGAUUCGUGGGUUCUUUGCCUCAAAUAUAUUUCAAGAAUUUCAGAGCAAUGAAAGAGGAAAAUGAGAAAAUCACAUCAAAUGAGAUUGAAAAUUAUGUGGAGAUGAGGCUCACCUUGAAAGGUCUGGAUCAAUUAUUACGGAGAUUGUUGUCGGACUUUACAACAAUUGACUUAUCCUCCAAUAGGUUUUCUGGGAGUAUUCCAAAUUCCAUAGGAAAUCUUAAAUUUCUCAAAUACUUGAAUUUGUCCCACAAUAACCUCAUAGGAAAUAUACCUUCGUCACUUGGAAAUAUGAAUGAACUUGAAUCCUUGGACUUGUCAGUGAACAAGUUGAAUGGAGAAAUCCCAAGUGAAUUGACUAGGUUGACAUUUCUUUCAACAUUAAACCUUUCAAUGAAUAAUCUUGUUGGACAAAUACCACAAUCUACUCAGUUUUCCACAUUUGAGAAUGAUUCAUAUAUGGGAAACGGGGGAUUGUGUGGACUUCCAUUGACCAAACAAUGCAAUGAGGAGAAUGGGCAGCAGAUGCAGCUAGAAGAAGAUGAUGAUGAUGAAGAUGAUAAGUAUGGAUUUAUAGAUGGGUUUGGAUGGAGAAGUGUGGUGAUGGGAUAUGGAAGUGGAUUCAUAGUUGGGAUUGGAAUUGGUUACAUUAUUAUUAGAAAUGGAAGGCCAAGAUGGUUAGUGGAAUUCUUUUUUGGAGUUGGAUAUAAUUAUAAGAUGGAGCUGAGACGUAGCAGAGCUACACCAACACCAACAACACGCGGGAGAACUUAAUUGAAGCCCAAAUCAAUUGUGUGCUUUACUUGUGCCGAUUUGUGUUUUCUUUUAUCUUUUUUACGUUUUGAAUUGCUACUUAGUGUGUUUUUCUCGAUUUCAACUUUAGAGUUUAUGAAAUGUUGUUGUAUAUUCGAAUGUGUUAAGUUUUAGUUUCAUCUCGUUCUCAUUUUGAUCUAGUUGACAACUAGAUCAUUGUGUUGGAACUCUCUUUUAACAUAAAACCGGUGUCUUUUAAGUGAUGUGUAUAAGAGAUUUUGCUGUAGCGGUAAAAGAAGUUUAAUCGGGUUUUUGGAGAGCUUCUAUUCAGGUAUAAAAUAAUACUUCAUCCGUCCACAAAAAAUAAUCAUAGAAGGAGAUGACACGGGUUUUAAUAAAAAUAGUUGAGUGUAUUAAUUGUAAAUGGAGAAAAGGUCCUACUUCAUUACCUUAAAUUUUCACAUUUUUUUGCCACUCUCAAUAUUUUCAAUAAUUUUUUCUCCACUCUCAAUAUAUUCAACAACUUUAUUUCUCCACUCUCUAUAGAAUCUAACUACUUAACUAGAUAAAUAAAAAUAAUAAUAACAAUGACUCACUAACAUAAAAUAAACAAGGUACAUAUCACGUAAACUUUAAGUUCUAUAUAUAUGUUAUCAUACUAUAGUUAUAAUAAACCUUAUACAAAUAAAUAAUUUUGGGACCUAAGAAUUUUAUCGAUGAUCAAUCGUAAUUUAUUAAUGUAUCGAUAAAUUAACAACUUUUUAGUUUAUAAAGUAUUUUCUUGAUUUCAGAAAUUAUGAUUAAAUCAAGUUAUAAUGAGUAAAAAUAAAGAGAGACAAUAUUUAAAUUAAAUAAAUAGAUGUAUCUAUCAAGUUAUUGUGGUUGAUAUUACGGGAGAUCAUAAUGAUGAUCAAGCUGAAGAUGAUUCAACCACAAAUUCAAAUUGUAUAAAGAUAAAAUAGUAUUCAUAAUUGUAAUAUUUUAAUAAUAUUAAUGGGGCCUAUAUAUGCAAUAAUAUUGUGCAUCGGGCCGGAAUCCAGUCAUCGAGACAUUAAUCAAUAAGAAAAUUUUGACUUUAGGACGCAAAACAUUAAAAGGAUCAUAGGUUUGGGUGAUAAGUAAUAUUUUCCAUAUAUGUUUAAAUCUACCAUUAAACUAACUUUUUGUGAAGUUUUGGAUAUUUGUAGGAAUUAUUCCACAAGAGAUACAUCAUCUUGAUAAUUUAGGAGCUAGUGUUGGACUUGAGUUUGAACAAGUUGUCAGGCACUUUGCCACCAACCAUUUUCAACAUGUCUUCCUUGAUUGAUAUGGAUUGACUUAUCAAGUAACACACUUAGCGGGGCAUUGCCUUCGGAAAUUGGGAACAUGAAAGUAGCACUAGCGUUUUUAAACCUUCAAAACAAUGCUUUCACUCUUAUAGAGUUUUACACAUAUUCAAAUGUUUCUUAAUUUUUAUGUAUAUAUUGGAUUUACAGCCAUUGUGAGACCUAUGUACUUCUUCUCAAACCUAUAUUUGACUUUUCCAUAUAGCAUUUACAACUAUGUUCUUCUCAAAUCUAUAUUGUUCUUUGACUUUCAUUGAUUACUGGAAUAAAUAUCAUUAUACUUAAAAUAGUAUACAGCUCAAUCUCCCAACCAAUCGAAUCACGUAUUUUACUUAUUAUUCUAAUGAUCGUUAUACUAAACAAUAUGAAACUUGACUGAUGACUUCAUUAUUCUCCAGGUACUAUUCCGAGUGAAAUUGGGAACAUGGAAGCACUACAAUUUUUAUACCUUGGAAACAAUGGUUUAACCGGUAAGAUUUCUUAUUGUUGUAGGGUUUUAAACCUAUUCAACAUGUUUAUUUCCAAUUGGAACCAUUUUCAGCACGCUUGUCUCCUUAUCCAAAAAGCAUAUAUAAUUACGGAGCUCGGUGAACUUUUUUGUACGAUUUAUUGUUCUUUGUCUUCCAUUGAUUAGUGGAAUAUACUCCCUCCGUCCACCAAUUGAUAUCCUAUUUUCCUUUUUGGUCCGUGCACUAAUUUAUGUUCUACCCAUUUAUAGUAACUCUUUAUAAUUUUUUAAUUGGUGGGUUCCAAUAAACAAUACAAUUUUUCUCCACUCAACUAAUAAACAAUACACUUUGUGGGUCCCUUUGUCCACGCAACUAAUAAAUAAUAUAUUUUGUGGGUCCCUUUCUCCACUCACUACACUUUUUCUUAAAACCCGUAUUUCCUCCCCUACGUCAUAAAUUAGUGGACGGAGAGAAUAUAUCAUUAUACUUAAUACUAUACAGCUCAAUCUCCCAACCCAUUACUAGUUGUGUUUUUCACAAAAUGUCUAGUUUAAAUAACAGACAAAUGUUGGUAAAAUGCUUUGUGCAUUUUUAGAUAUAAAGAAAUUUGAUUCAUAUCCUUCUCUAUCUUUCAAAUAAUAUAUUUGAAGGUCUUGUACUAACUUUCAGGUCAAAUACCAUCAACCAUUGGGAAUAUUCUACCAUUGAUUGUUCUACAACUCUAUUCCAACAAAUUAAUCGGUGAGCUUUCAUCCUCCAUCUAUAACUUGACAUCUCUUGAUGCUCUUGUUCUCUCAAAUAUCACCUUGGAAGGAACAAUUCCACGAUGCUUUGGAAACUUGAACUCUUUGACCAUCUUUCAUUUAAAUGAAAAUCAGUUUAGUGGUCUCAUUCCAUCAACAUUUAGAGAGGUGUGUAAUUUUGUGUCCAUCAAUUUGAAUGGUAAUAAAUUGCAAGGAACAUUACCUAAAUCCCUGAUCAAUUGCGGAAGUCUACGAAGCCUCGACGUUGGAAAUAAUAGAAUACAAGAUGAAUUUCCCUUCUGGAUGGAAGUCCUUCCACAGCUUGAAGUGUUGGUCUUGAGGUCUAACAAGUUUUACGGUAACAUGUCACUUCGGGCUAAUUGCCGCUAAAUCCAUGUACUUUUUCAAUUUUUGAUUUUUUCUCAUGGCAAAAAAAAAUCUACUUUAAAAUCCAUGAAUUGCAAAAUUGAUUGGAAAUUUCCCCCGCAUCCGAUUUCCGGCCAUCAGCGAAAUGAGUCAGAUCCUAUGUGGCGAAAUUCAUUCCGGGUGUUAAGUUUAAUGAAUGACAUGGACGCCACAUAAGAUUUUAAAAACUGAAAAAAAUUAUAGGAAAUCUUAAGAUUCUCAAAUACUUGAAUUUAUCCCAGAAUAACCUCAUUGGAAAUAUACCUUCAUCUCUUGCAAAUAUGAGUGAACUAGAAUCUUUGGACUUGUCAGUGAACAAGUUGGAUGGAGAAAUUCCAAGUGAAUUGACAGGGUUGACAUUUCUUGCGAAAUUAAACCUUUCAACGAAUAAUCUUGUGGGGCAAAUACCACAAGCCCAAAAGAAUUGUUAAACUGGGGCCUUCUGGCUCCGCCAUUGGUUACAACAAUACAACAGACUUCGUUGUCAACUUCGUUUUUGGCUUUAUAAGAUACUAGCUAGUAACCUGUUGAAAUUUGAUGGAGUAUUAUUUUUUUUGUAAUGAAUUUAUCUUUACAUAACUUUUGAAAUUAAUUUAAUUUAAUGUAAUAGAGUUCAAAUUAUAUUAAUCUCAACCACCUAUAUAAAUCAAAUCUUAAUAUUUUGUUGGGAGAAUAGAAAUGUUAUUUUAUACUAUAAGUUUUUAUUUGAUUAAGUUUUGUAAAAGGUCGAUGUGGAAUUGAAAAUUUUAGAAAAAUGAGAAGAAAAAAGUGUGUAAAUUAGAUGGAUGAUAUGACAGAGGGAUUGGUUGUGCCACAUUGGUUGUUAAUUGUAUAUAGACAACUUAUGUGUGUAUUUUAGUUGUUCAAUAUUCUUGAAUUUUUUGGCUUUAAUGAAAUUUAAUAUACACAAUUAGGUUAGGUUGUUUUUUUUUUUUUGUACAGGAAUUGAAGAGAUCAAUGUCAACUGAAUCGAAUGAAUGAUGAAGAGCUAAUGUUGGGCUACAAAGCCUACAAUGUUGAUUAGUCUUACUUCCUUGUUCGUUUGGGAUUCUAGUGACAUUAUAGAGAUAAGCUUUUACUUUUUAUGCAUAAGAGGAAUAGUUUCUGCAUCUGACAUGGUUAUUCGUUUGGGAUUCUAGUGACAUUAUUCUGGUUUGUAUCUUCAAUUUAGUAGAUUGUUAGUUAUGCUUUCUUUGUUCAAUUUAAUUAUGUUUUAUUUCGAUAGCAUGAGUAGCAAAUUUAUUAAUUCAGUGAGUAUAAUGAAACACUAGUCUAAAAUCUGUGACCUAAUUGUUUUAUUGAUUGAUACAAUUGGAUGAAUUAUUUACAUCUCAAUCAGAAGAAGCUUUUAGUUUAAGCAGGGAUAUUCGUGCUUAUAAUAGAAUAUUGUCAUUUACUUCGUUCAGUGUAAAAUUGGAUAAAGAACUCGCAUCUGUAAGACGAAGAGUUUAUUCUUUACAAGCACAAGGAAUGGUUUAUCAUGAUCUUCCUGAAUUGAUCCACAAUAUACAUGUAUUUUCAAUAAUACUUUUACGACACACAAAGUGAGGUUGAGGACCGAAUUAACAUAAGAUGCACGUAGAAAUUUUAGAGUUCAACAUGUAUGAAAAAUUCUUACAAAUUAAUUUAUGUAAGAAUUUACUGGUGUUUUUGAUAAAAUUAUUUGAAUUUGAAUAAAUUUCCUCGUUACCAAGAGCUUAUUAUUAUUAUUAUUAUUAUUAUUAUUAUUAUUAUUAUUAUUAUUCAAAAUAACUCGAAUUCAAAUUGCAACAAUUGCUCUAUUUUAAGGGGGCAGUUGCGUAGAGCUUGGUUUUAGAUUGCAAAGUGUGAAUUACCCUUUAUUAUAUCUUAUUCAAAGACACAAAAAGGGGGAUUUAAAGUCUCCCAAAUCUAUUAUAAAAAUAGAGAAUAUAUUCUACUUUUGCAUGUUAUUCUACCACUUCAAAUAAACAAACAGGUUUUGUUGUUUAUUCAACUGACGUAGCCCUCUGAUCACGGCCAAAACUUAUAAUGCUAUUUUAAUAUGAAUAUUAGGGUCAUUUUUUAAGAUUUGGGUUAGACUCAAUCUCCCAAAUCGAACAGAAAGUAGCUUUCCAUAUAAAUAGUCUUAGUUGCUUUUGCCUCCAAAAAUCACUCUUUAUAGUUCCACAAUUAUUUUCUUCGUCUUUCCAAUGGGAAAAAUAUUAUUUUAGCUUUGAAUAAAAGGAAACUCUGCAUUUCCUACUUUCAUCANAACAGGCUCGAGCUCGAUUCGUUUAAAUAUUCAGGUGUCUGAACGUGAUUCGAACUUUUAUCUUGUUAAUCGAGUUUAGCUCGUUACUCACUUACCGAGCUCAAGCUCAGUUCGAAUUCAGCUCAUGUGAUACUCAAUAAUAUCGAAUUCGAGCUUAAGCUCGAGCUCGAACUCGAUGUGUUUAAAGUUUGUGUACUAACUCAAUUGAAGGUUCGUGAAUAAACUCGCAAAUAUAUUCGUGAUUAAUCGCAUUUGAAUAUGUUCGCAAGCUAAACGAGCCGAGUGCUGCCAAGUUUGAGCUCGGUUCAAAAAAAUUAUCGAGCUCAAAAUCAAGCUCAAACUUGUUUACUAUCAAACCGAUCAAGUUUGGGAUCAUAUUCAGCAAUGGCUCAACAUCAAAACGGCAAAGCCACAAGGUCUCUUUCAACAUUUUUUGUCUUUUACUUAUGGUGGCAAAGGUAAGAAAAUCAGAAAAUUUUUGAAAGCUUUAUUGGUUGGAACAAUUUGGCUGCUGUGGAGUUAUAGAAAUGAAAGUAGGUUUGAAGGAAAGGAGUGGGAUCCACAAAAACUUGUGUUGGAGGUUAAAGGUAGACUUUGGAGCUGGAACAAGACUUUCCAAAUGGUGGAAGUGAAUGUUCCGUUUUCUUUGUGGUGCUCCCAAGAGUACACACUCCCCUUUUUGUAACUGUUUUGGUACUACUGAUACCGAGUUUUUCAAUAUAUUGCACUUUUAUUGAUAAAAAAAAAAAAGUUGAGUCUCGAAUAGAUCGCGGGUAGCUCUAUUUAUUUAUAAUCCUAACCGUUGGUGUUAAUGUUUGACGGUGAUACAUAUAUGCACGAAAGGACCAAGAAAAUAUUGGCCGGCGACUGACUUAUCUCACUCCCCACCUAAUUCGGCUUCCACGCGGCCUUCAAUCAACUCAAAUUACUACUUAGUAGUGCCACCCACCUUUCCCUUGACCUUCUCACGCAAAUCUAUACUAAUAGAAAAAGAGCCUAAGCAUUUUAUGGGACAACUUGUGGAUUGCCUAUUUUACCCCUAUUAUUUAUUUUGUAUUAUAUAUUUAUAAAAUCAAUCUAUUUGAUAUAUAUUUAUUUGUCACCCAAAUCUAUAAAUAAUAUUUUAUAUUAUAAAACCAAACAUAUACAUAAAAUCGUUGUCAAAUUAAUUAGAUAAAAAAUUUCUUCUCUACUUAGGUCCAAUAUUGAUGUUUCCCUCAUCUAAUCUAAUUAUAAUUUCUAAAUAAAUCCCUAAUAUAAUUGGUAUUUACAUCACAAUUCUUUUUUCCCUAAAAGAAGUUCAUCAAUUAAACCAACGAUCAAGGGGAUUCCAAUAUCUUAUCGCAUUAGAAUUCUAUUUAAUUUAUUACAUAUUUUAUUUUAAGGUUUUUUACAGAUUAUAUAUUUAUAAGAAUAUAUUAUUAUUAAUAUACACUAAAUCUAUGUGUAUAUAUCUAUAGCUAUUGAUAAGGCUUAUAAAUAAAUAUAUUCAAUCCAAUAAAAUUUAUUAAUGAAAGUAAUAAAUUAAUAAUUUUCUAAAAUAAUAGAUUAUUAAAUAAAAUAACAUUAAUUACACGUACAACGUACGUUCUUUCUGCUAGUUACUCAAAAUGACUCGAAUAUUCAAAUUGCAACAAUUGCUCUAUUUUCAGGGGGCAAUUGCGUAGAGCUUGGUUUUAGAUUGCGAAGUGUGAAUUACCCUUUAUUAUAUCUUAUUCAAAGAUCACAAAAAGGGGGAUUUAAAGUCUCCCAAAUCUAUUAUAAAAAUAGAGAAUAUCUUCUACUUUUGCAUGUUAUUCUACCACUUCAAAUAAACAAACAGGUUUUGUUGUUUAUUCAACUGACGUAGCCCUCUGAUCACGGCCAAAACUUAUAAUGCUAUUUUAAUAUGAAUAUUAGGGUCAUUUUUUAAGAUUUGAGUUAGACUCAAUAUCCCAAAUCGAACAGAAAGUAGCUUUCCAUAUAAAUAGUCUUAGUUGCUUUUGCCUCCAAAAAUCACUCUUUAUAGUUCCACAAUUAUUUUCUUCGUCUUUUCCUCAUUCACACUCCAAUUAAUUAUUUUCUCCGGCUUCGUCGCUCCAAUGGGAAAAUAUUAUUUUAGCUUUGAAUAAAAGGAAACUCUGCAUUUCCUACUUCAUCAUUAAUCCUUCCCAUUUGCCCAUCAUAUCCACACACACUCUAUAUAUACAUGUAUAUGGAUUUCAUAGUUCAAUAUUCUAAAAAAUUACUACUGUCAAAAUCAAGCCAAAAAAUGCCAAAAUCUCCCCAUUUUCUCAUCCUUGCACUACUCUUACCAAUCCAUUAUUUGAUGGAUUAUAGCUCAGCCAAAACCGAUAUCAACACCGAUCGUUCUUCACUUCUUGCCUUGAAAUCUCAAAUCACUUUAGAUCCUCAAAAUAUAUUGACCCAAAAUUGGAGCACUGAAGCCAGUGUUUGUAGUUGGAUAGGAGUUACUUGUGAUUCACACUACAAUAGGGUGACUAACUUGAAUAUAUCGCACAUGGGUCUUGUCGGAACCCUCCCACCAGAAAUCGGGAAUCUUUCUUUCCUCGUCUCUUUAAAUGCGAGUCAUAACUCUUUUCAUGGCCCCAUUCCCCCAUCUAUCUUCAACAUGUCAUUUCUAGAAGUUUUGGAACUAAAGAAUAAUAGUUUGUCUAGUAGUUUACCUCUUGAUAUGUGCAUACACAAUCUGCAUAGACUCAAGAGGCUUCGUAUAUCUUACAACGUGUUGUAUGGGGAAAUACCAUCGAGUUUGGGGCAGUGUUCACAGCUUGAGUAUCUUUCUUUGUACAACAACAAUUUCACUGGAUUUGUGCCGAGAGAAAUUGGGAACUUGACCAAGCUUCAAGAGUUGUACCUUGGUGAAAAUAAGUUGACUGGUAAGUUCAUUCCUAUAUUUAUGAGGUCAAAUCAUGCAUUUAAUGCCAUAUUAUUUAAUUCUUUAAUUUAUGUGCUUUAUGUUUGAGUGUCAAAUUUAAAAUUUAUCUCAGCUUAAUUGUAUGUAUAAACUCAAUUUGGACCACUAAUCAUUAUACAAUAACGCAUACAAAGUUUUCGAACCUUUAGAAAAUCUUUGAUGAUCUUUCAUUUAAACACAAACCAGUUUAGUGGUAAUAAAUUGCAAGGACCAUCAACAUUUACCAAUGAUUGGACUCUUUUUCAGUCAAUUUAAGUGAUACUAGUAAAUUGCAAGGAGCAUUACCUAAAUCCUUGAUCAAUUGUCAAAGUCAUAUAAUUGUGUCUUUCACAAAUUUAUAAAUGACUUUUCCAUAUAACAUUCAUUAGGACUAGUAAUCUAAAAUACUUUGAAUUAAAUAUACUAUAUUUAUAAAGAAUUCAAUAUAUUCAUUUUAAAUGUUAAGUAGGAUGUGUUAGCGUGUAUUUACAUGACAUUGUUUUAUAUUUAAAGAUUCAUAGGUUAGGGUGAUAAGUAAUAUUUUCCAUAUAAGUUUCAAUCUAGAAUUAAACUAACUUUGUGUGAUGAUUUGAAUAUUUGUAGGAGUUAUUCCACAAGAGAUACAUCAUCUUCAUAAUUUAAGAGUGUUGGACUUGAGUUUGAACAAGUUGUCAGGCACUUUGCCACCAACCAUUUUCAACAUGUCUUCCUUGGUAUGGAUUGACUUAUCAAGUAACACACUUAGCGGGGCAUUGCCUUCAAUAAUUGGGAACAAGAAAGCAGUACUAGAGUUUUUAUACCUUGAAAACAAUGCUUUAACCGGUAAGAUUUCUAACUCUUGUAGGGUUUUACACAUAUUCAAAUGUUUCUUAAUUUUCAUGUAUAUUUAGCGUUUACAGCCAUUGUGAGACCUUUAACUUCUUCUCAAAUCUAUAUUUGACUUUUCCAUAUAGCAUUUACAGCUAUGUCCUUCUCAAAUCUAUAUUGUUCUUUGUCUUCCAUUGAUUAGUGGAAUAAAUAUCAUUGUACUUAAAUAGCUCAAAAUUUCCCAUCCGAUCAAAUCAUGUAUUUUUACCUAUUAUUGUUAUGAUCGUUAUACUUAACAAUAUGGAACUUGACUUUGAUGACUUCAUUAUUCUCCAGGUACUAUUCCGAAAGAGAUUGGAAAUCUUCAUAAUUUAUGGUUCAUGUGGUUGGGUUCCAACGAACUUAGCGGAUCAAUCCCGAGAGAAGUGGGGAACAUGACAGCUCUUUCUGACUUACGGCUCGACAAUAAUAGUUUAAGUGGUAUUAGAACUCUUUUAGCGAGUUAAUUUCUUUUUUUGGGGAUUCCCACAAACUUAGUGGAGCUUUAAUUGUACCCACAAAUUUGGAAUAUUAGAACUCUUUGUCGCUCACACCUUUUUAACAUUUAUUUAACUUUUCCGCCAGGUACUAUUCCUAAAGAGAUUGGAAAUCUUCGUAAUUUACACUACUUAAGUUUGUCUUGACUAUUUAUGGCUCCACAAUAAUACUUUAAGUGGUAUGAUUUAUUAUUUAGCUAGCCACAAGUUUAGGUAAAAGAUAAUAUUGUUUGUUAAAUUAAAUAGAUGCAAAGUAAAAGAUAUUUGAUAGGUUUUGGAGAGCUUUUAUUCAGGUAAUUAAAAGAUAGUAAUAGAUUGUUUUAUUACUUCGCAAAUUCAUUUCUAAAGAAAAUUAUUUUCACCUUUAAGAGUCUCGUUUCUUUUCCAACAUUCGACACAAAAGUAUUUUUCCUUUCUUAUUUUCACUUCAAUGAUGGAUAAUAUUAGAAGGAUAAUAUUAUCCAUCAUUGAAGUGAAAAUAAGAAAGGAAAAAUACUUUUGUGUCAAAUGUUAGAAAAGAAAUGAGACAUUUGAAAGCAUAAAUUUUUGUUUCUUUUCAAUUGGAACCAUCUUCAGCACUCGUCUCUUUAUCCUAAAAGAUGGAAGCACUAAAUCUUUUAUUCCUUGGAAACAAUGACUUUGACUCUAGGACGCAAACAUUAAAAGGUUCAUAAAUUAGGGUGAUAAGUAAUAUUUUCCCUAUACGUCUCAAUCUAGAAUUAGACUAACUCUUUGUGAUGAUUUGGAUAUUUGUAGGAGUUAUUCCACAAGAGAUACAUCAUCUUCAUAAUUUAACAGUGUUGGACUUGAGUUCGAACAAGUUGUCAGGCACUUUGCCACCAACCAUUUUCAACAUGUCUUCCUUGACAUGGAUUGACUUAUCAAGUAACACACUUAGCGGGGCAUUGCCUUCAGAAAUUGGGAACAAGAAAGCAGUACUAGAGUUUUUAUACCUUCAAAACAAUGCUUUAACCGGUAAGAUUUCUAACUCUUGUAGAGUUUUACACAUAUUCAAAUGUUUCUUAAUUUUCAUGUAUAUUUAGCAUUUACAGCCAUUGUGAGACCUUUAACUUCUUCUCAAAUCUAUAUUUGACUUUUCCAUAUAGCAUUUACAGCUAUGUUCUUCUCAAAUCUAUAUUGUUCUUUGUCUUCCAUUGAUUAGUGGAAUAAAUAUCAUUAUACUUAAAUAGUAUACAGCUCAAUCUCCCAACCGAUCGAAUCACGUAUUUUACUUAUUAUUCUCAAUUAUGAUUGUUAUACUUAACAAUAUGGAACUUGACUUUGAUCACUUCAUUAUUCUCCAGGUACUAUUCCAUCCUCCAUCUGUAACUUGACAUCUCUUGGAUUUCUUGUUCUCUCAAAUAACACCUUGGAAGGAACAAUUCCACAAUGCUUUGGAAAUUUGAGCAAAUCUUUGCUCAUUUUUCAUUUAAAUGUGAAUCAGUUUAGUGGUCUCAUUCCAUCAUCAUUUAGCAAGGGAUGUGGCCUUGUGUCCAUCAAUUUGAAUGGUAAUAAAUUGCAAGGACCAUUACCUAAAUCCUUGAUCAAUUGCCAAAGACUACGAGACCUCGACGUCGGAAAUAAUAGAAUACAAGACGAAUUUCCCUUUUGGAUGGAAGUCCUUCCAGACCUUCAAGUGCUGGUCUUGAGGGCUAACAAGUUUUAUGGUAACAUGUCACUUCCUUCGCAAACCAAGAUUCCAUUUCAUAAUUUGCAAGUUUUAGAUAUAUCUCAGAAUAGAUUUGUGGGCUCUCUGCCUCAAGGAUAUUUCAAGAAUUUCAGAGCAAUGAUAGAGGUAAAUGAAACAAACUUGUCAACUAACGACACCUUCUUUAAAGAUUAUGUGGAGAUGAGGCUCACCUUGAAAGGUCUGGAUCAAUUAUUACAGAGAUUGUUGUCAGCCUUUACAACAAUCGACUUAUCCUCCAAUAGAUUUUCUGGGAGUAUUCCACAUUCCAUAGGAAAUCUUAAGAUUCUCAAAUACUUGAAUCUGUCCCACAAUAACCUCAUAGGAAAUAUCCCUUCAUCUCUUGGAAAUUUGAGUGAACUUGAAUCUUUAGACUUGUCGGUGAACAAGUUGGAUGGAGAAAUUCCAAGUGAAUUGACAGGGUUGACAUUUCUUGCGAAAUUAAACCUUUCAAUGAAUAAUUUUGUGGGACAAAUACCACAGUCUAAGCAGUUUUCCACAUUUGAGAAUGAUUCAUACGUGGGAAACUUGAGACUGUGUGGAGUUCCGUUGACGAGAAAAUGCAACGACGAGAAUGGGCAUGAGAUGAAGCCACAAGAAGAUGAUGAUGAAGAAGAUGAGUUUGGAUUUAUAGAUGGAUUUGGAUGGAGAAGUGUGGUGAUGGGAUAUGGAAGUGGAUUCAUAGUUGGAAUUGGAAUUGGUUACAUUAUCAUUAGAAAUGGAAGGCCAAGAUGGUUAGUGGAAUUCUUUUUUGGCAUUGGAUAUAAUAAUAAUAAUAAUAAGAAGAAGAAGAAGAAGAAGAGACGCAGCAGAGCUACACCAACACCACCAACACGCAGGAGAACUUAAUUGAAGGCUUGUGCUCGAAUUGUGUUUUCUUUUUCUUAUUUCCUUUGUAAUGGCUACGUUAGUGUGUUUUUAGAGUUUACGAAAUGUUGUUGUUUGUUCAAAUAUGUGAAGUUUUAAUUUUAUCUCGUUUAGGUAAUUUUUUGGAUAAACUAAAACAGUUUUGUGAUUUUAUUUGUUAAAUAUUUAGAUUAUUAAAAAUGUCAUCCUCUUAGUGACAUAGAACUGCUUGCUGGAUUUCUUCGAGCAAAAAUACUACACAUGAAUCUAGUUGGAACAGAUUCUGUUAAGCCUAUGAACAGAUCCUCAAAAUCAUCAAAUUGAUUUGGAGAAAUGAUCGUUUGUUUACUUAUAAAUCGUUGGUUUGUAUUGGCUGCUUAAUUUAUAAAUAAUGUUUUAUACAAUUUUUUUGGCUCUUGUUUUAUUAAUUAACUAAUUUAAUUUAAUAAUCUACAAAAUAUCUUACUUCUUAUUCUAUAUAAAAAUAGAAAAAAAGUGUAAUUAAAUAAAAAAAAUAGUCAUAGAAAGGUGUAGUGAAUUUAAUUUUAUACAGCCAAUGAAAAUAGACUACAACGUAAAUAUGCAACACAAAUGAUGUUGAGAGCAUAUUGCAGGAGUCUCUUGUUGAAUUAAGUAAUCAAAUAGUAAUAAAAUAAUAAUUACUCAAAAUAGAAAACACAACUUAUACAGAAGGGUUGCUAUAUCAUGUGACAUUUUAUCGAACAGUUGGAGCACUUAUCUGCAUACAAGAUUCUGCUGGGCAUUUUCUCGAACAGUUGGAGCGCCUCUUUGUUGGCCGAUAUGAACUAGAUUCUCACGUCCCCGCUUAGAGGUUAUAAAUUGAUACUCCCUCUGUCUUAGCUUUUAAUAUCUAUAUUUUCAUUUUAGUCCGUCAUUUUUUUUUAUUCAUUUCUAUUUUUGGUAAAAGUAUGUGACACCCUUACUCCACUUUAAUUACUUUAACACUCGCAUAAAAGGUAAGACCUUUAUUCCACUCGUAACACACUUAACCUCUUUAUUAAAACUUGUGUCACUUUCAAAUGGAUACUAAAAAUUGGGAAGGAGAGACUAUAUUUUUAUCAUCUUUAAGCAAAAGUCAAAUUGAGUUUGAACACGAAUUAUUUAACUAUGUUAACAUUUAUUGAAACAAGAAAAAUUAAUUAUUCACAUAUCCGAGCAUAUUACACAUUUUUUAAGUGUAAUUUAUCAAUCAUGUUAUAUGUAAUUCGCAUGCUAUUACAAAUGAUUCAAUGAAUAUAGAUAGAAAUGAAUAUAGAUAGAUAAAUCAUAAAUUUAUCCAGUAUAUACACCGAAAAUAGCGCCAACAUGUUUUCAUGAGCAUAAAAAAUAAAAAGAUAAUUAUGAAAUUCACACAUUGUCAUGUAAAUAUAUGAUAUAAGCACUGAAUGUAGUAUCCAAUCCUCGAUCUCAAUUCAAUAUGUCAUGUUUUCUUAUUUGUACGUUCCAUUUCAAUAAAUUAUUUCUUAAAAUGAAAUAUCAAUACAUUACAAACACAUUCACCUUUACACCAAGUAACAUUAUAUUAUAUCCCACAAAUAAGUACCCCUUCCGUCCCAAUAGUAGUCAGUGGCGGAUCCAGGGGGGGCUUCAGCCCCCUCCCAAUUUUUGAGUUUUUUUUUUUUAUUAUAGAUAUAUAUAUUUAUUAUUUUGUUUUAUAUCUAUAUAUAUGUGUAUAUAAAUAAAAAAUACAAGAAAAAAUAUAGUAAUACAUUAUUUAUAGUAUCCAACUAUCCAUAUUAAUUGCUCAACACAUUGAGUUGUUACAUUUAUAGUAUUAUUUUUAUCAUUUUUUCUUUCUUAGUUAAUUUUUAAUGUUAAAUUUGAGUCAAUUCUAAAGGUAAAAGUAAAAUUACUAAUUACUAACAAUGAAAAUUACUCCCUCCGUCCCUGAAAUGGCUUCCUCUUUGGGGACGGCACGGGUUUUAAUAAAAAGUUGUAAAGUGUAUUGAUAGUGAAGAAAAAGUGAUAUAAUUAUUAUUGGAAGUUGUGAAAAGUGUUAUACUCCCUCCGUCCCGCUAAAGUUGGCAACAUUCGUUUCGGCACGGAGAUUAAGAAAUUGAGUGUUAUAUGUUUUAAUAAAGUGUGGUCUACAAUUGUUGACCAAAUUAGUGAGUAAUUGUUGACUUAAUUAAAGUAAUUUUGACAUUUUUAGAAAGUGGCCUACAAUUGUUGACCAAAUUAGUGAGUAAUUGUUGACUUAAUUAAAGUAAACUUUUGCCAUUUUUAGAAAGUGGCCAACUUUAGUGGGACACCCAAAAUAGAAAUGUUGCCAACUUUAAUGGGACGGAGGGAGUAAUUAGUAUUGAGAGUGGUGAAAAGUGAAAAGUAAGAAUAAAUAAAGUAUUAUUAGUGGUGGGGUAGGUUUCCAAAAAUGGAAAAAAAGAAAGAGGAAGUUAUUUGGGGGACGUCCCAAAAUGGAAAAAGAGGAAGUUAUUUUAGGGACGGAGGGAGUAGUUUAUUUGUUUAGAAGAUGAAACAAUUUUUUUUUAAGAAAAAUGAAUAAAAGUACGUUUUUAUAUGCUUUCAAUCUACUUGAUGUUGAAUUAAUUGAAUUGCGAACAAUUAUCUUAUUAUAUUAAGUGAUUGUUGAAAAAAUGUAUGAAAAUGAAGUGUACGGAAUGCUCAAAAAAAUUUACUUCGGGGGCUCCCGCCCCCGAACCCCCGUGUAAAUAUUUUCAAGCACCGUAGUCCAAUAGAUUCAGCCCCCCCCCCUAACAUUGAAUCCUGGAUCCGCCCCUGAUAGUAGUGUCCCACUUCACCUUUCCACUUUCUUUUUUGGCAAUAUAGUCUAUCUCUAUAUUAUUUAAAUAAUUUUCAUCAAUCCACUUUAUCUACUUUUUACACAUUCCUUAAUCUAUAUGUCCAAAAGUAACGGGACACUACUAAUGGGACAGAGGGAGUAGUAUUUUUAUAUAUUUCUAAAUUCUUUGAUAAAUACAUCUUUAAAAAAAUUAUUAUAAGCUAUUUAUUUUUAAUAUUUUAAUUUGUAAACUCAAUUUUCUCUCUUUUAGUUCAUUAUAAACUAUUUAUUUUUUAAUAUCUGUAUUCAUAUUGAAGUGUUGCAUGACAUUUCUUAAACUCGUGCCACAUUUUGGUUCAUAUUUCUAUUUUUAGUAAAAGUAGGUGAGACUAUUGCUAAAUGAUAAACAUGCAUUUUUACCUCUUGGAGUGUCAUUUUUGAUGCUAAGUUGUGAGGAUUUUGUGUGUUUGAUGGUCUAUUUGAGCUUAUAUUCGUUUAUGGUCAAGAACUUGUUACUUGCUUGUGUUUGAACGAAUUUUCAGAAAUAAUGAAGCAGAAUAUGGAAGAAUUGGCUGAAAUACAAGUUGUAGUUCGUCUCGAUAGGAGUUCGUGAGCGCAAACGGAUCAUAAAUCGGAGUUCGGACGAGAAAGAACGAGCCAAAACAAAAUCGUUGCGCAAAGCUAUCAGGAGUUCUGUUUCGUCGCGCGGUCCAGGCUCGCGGCCGCGCGACGUGGCCGCGCGAGUCUCCGUAUUUCCGCCCAAAAUUCGUUUUUUUGCCAUUUUGGGUAUUUUUGAGAGCUACAAGACCUAGGGCAUAUAAAUACUCCCCAAGAACUUAUUCUCUGCACAUUUUAUCAUCUUUUAUCAUAUUUUACUUUUCCUGAGAGCUGAGAGAGACGGAGAACGGAGCAAGAGCAAGAUUGAAGAUUCUCAACUAUACUACGGUUUUAUUGUUGAAUGAUUAUUUGUAUUUUUGAGAAUUGUAUUCUAGUUCAUAUGUCUAUGUGUGGCUAGAAUCCCUUUUUCCCAGGGUUUAGGGAGUAGACAUGAUUUGAAUUUCUGACUGUUUGAUUCGAUUAAUUGAGAUUGUUAUUCCUUUUUAUGUUCUUGUUAUAAUUGUUUGCUUUAUUGAUUGGCCACCAAUUUAGCAUAAUCAUAGGUUUUAAUUUGAGAUCGGGAGAUGAUAAUUAUUACCUGAACUAAGAACAUAGAACACAUAUAUUUAAUUCUAAAGGGAAUUGAUAUUUGUGAGGGCGUUAAUCCUAUGAGCUUUUAGGAGUUGCAUGUUAGAAGUGCGAUCCGGGGACGGUAGCCUUGCAUGUAAUCAACGGUUUGUAUGCCACGGGAGUGGGUAUAGACUAGUUUUGAGAUUGCCUUAGGAAUCAUCUUAUUAUUUGAAUUGAACAUGUUAGUUAGGAGAAUCUGUUGAAACUUUUGCCUUGGGAAAUCUUCUCUUAUCUGUUUCUCUGUUUCACAGCUUGCUUUAUUUUCUUUCUUGCUGUUUAUUUAUUUUGUUCUUUACUACAAAAACUCUCAUUUUCGUUUGUCCAGAUAGAGUAGAAUAAUUUAGGAUAGGCAUUGAUAAUAAUUAGUCUCUGUGGAAUACGACCUUGCUUGCUACUGUACACAAUUGCAUCCGUACACUUGCGGCGUGUUAAUAAAAUAGCGAACACUAAACUUUAAUUAUUUUAACACUUAGGACAUUUAUUCUACUCACAACACCCAAUCACUUUAUUAAAAUUCGUGUUACUCUCAAAUAGAUACUAAAAGUUGGAACGAAAAGAGUACUAAAUUUAUAGUAAAAAUUUGUGUAUUUCGAUCCACAUGGUAUCUCAUAGUCAAACUAAUUGCAUAAAGACAAAUUUAUUGCGGCUUUAGUUUAAAAUUCCGAAAUUCUACACAAAAUUGUUUAAUAAUUUUUCCAAAAUUCACUAUGAAUAAGGGUUUAUUAAAUUCUUUAUUUUAAUAAUAAUAAUAAUAAUAAUAAUAAUAAUAAUAAUAAUAAUAAUAUGAUACGAUCCGUAUCAAUGGUGAAGCUUUUCGAGCAAGCUCAAACUCCAGAAAUCAAGAGAGAAGAAAGAAGUUUGAUAACUAACAACCAAAAUAUUCAUUCAUACUCAAUAAACUUGGAGAUUACAUCAUUUAUACCUAAUAAUAAAAACCUAAUGGGCUAAUGGGCUAGAACAUAAUAGGGCCAAGCUAGGGGAUGGGCUGGGUGUAUCAUUCCCCACUCCUUCACAAUCACCUUGUCCUCAAGGUGAAGUUGUAAAGAAAAAAAUGGCUAUGGGAGAUGAUUUGGCCCGUUAAUUGCAAAAACAAAACUAAAUAGAGCCAAAAUACACUGCUCGACUCAUGCUUGAUAAAAGCUCCGACUGAAAAUCAACUAAGAAGCUUGAUAAAACUACGACCAACAUGUGCUCGACAAAAGUCUCAGCUGAAAACCUGCAGAAAAUUAAUCCGAGCAAACUCAAAACUGAUGCACAUCAGCUGGGCGUGCCCACGAGAUCCGGGCGGCGGUUCGCCACAUAGCUGGACUUCUUGAUCAAGUCCACGAUCCUUCUCCUUGACGUCGACGGCGUGAUGUGGCGCGGUUAAUAGCAGAGACAAGCCUUGAGGCCGUGGAAGAACCCCAAUUUUUUGAUCUCGGAGGAAGCGAGCACUUGGGCUGUGGGCAGCCACAAUCAAAGCUUUAGGGCCACUCAUAUUGGGCCCAAAUAUAUUGAUUGGGUUGGGCUCUUCAUUCUUAGACUUGGGCCCAAUAGAAAUCUCAAACAACCAAUUCAAUGGGUAAUGAUAAACCCUCGCCCGCUGUAGAAUAAUUGAGAUUGUCGGCAACGUCGGCGGCGGGGGUACACCCUCAAUAAUCUCAUCGUCAACUGCCGAAAUAGGAUUGCUCGGUGGAUCAAGGUCAUCUUCUCCAUAACCCAGAAGGAGUAUUUUUUUGUUGCGGCAGCGGUGGGUCGGAGACGGUGGUGACUGACUAGGUGGGGUGGGCGUUGGUGGGGGAUUUCUCGAAGGAGUUAUUGGUGGCGGUGGUUGUGGUGGCGGCGGCGAUGGUGGUGGUGUUGCAGGGGAAGACGGUACGUUUGGGGGUGGCUCGGUGGGAGGAGGUGGUAUGGGGCAGUGGGGAUGUUGACGGCGGCGGAGGCUGGAGAUCUAUCUGUGAUAGCGGAGAUGGUGGUUCGAGUCCUGUGAAAGGAUGGGGCGAUGAGAAUGGCUGUGCAGAGGCGCAAAUGCUUGAGAUAUCCUUCACUUUAACUUCAACUCCACCCAUGGAAUAAGGAGACUUGGGAUCUCCAAAGUCAUCCUCAUCAUCGGUGCCUAAAAGAAUCAAAUAUUUGCUGCGGCAUCGGUGGGUAUCGGACCAAGUUUGGUCACAAUUGUAACACAACCCGAGGUCGUUUUUAGCUUCGAUUUCAGAUCGGCUUAGACGGCGAAUGGGAAGAUGUGAUGUGGAGUGAGUUGUAUGUAAGAUUGGGGGAAACGAUGGUGGUGGAUAGGGAGCUGGAGUAAUGGGUGGUGGGGAAGGUGAUGGUGGUGGCGGAGAGUGGACUGGUGGCGGCGGAGACUGGGUGGGUGGCGGCGGGGAGUGGACUGGUGGUGGUGGGGAGUGGACGGGUGGCGGAGGAGAGUGCACUGGUGGAGGAGGGGAGUGGACGGGUGGCGGCGGAGAGUGCACUGGCGGGGGAGGGGAGUACACCGGUGGUGGAGGGGAGUGAACGGGUGGUGGGAAAGGAGAUGAAAACAGGGAGGAAUUUGGAGCCGCCUGAAAAUAGGCAUCGAAGGAGGUUGGCCAACUGUAGAUGGCGGUGUGAAGCUCUUCAAUGGCGGCACAGAUUUCAGAUCUUGACAUCUUUUUUUUUUUUUUUUGGAUAUUCAAAGAGAGAUACUCUCAAUGAAAGCACCAAUUGAUACGAUCCGUAUCAAUGGUGAAGCUUUUCGAGCAAGCUCAAACUCCAGAAAUCAAGAGAGAAGAAAGAAGUUUGAUAACUAACAACCAAAAUAUUCAUUCAUACUCAAUAAACUUGGAGAUUACAUCAUUUAUACCUAAUAAUAAAAACCUAAUGGGCUAAUGGGCUAGAACAUAAUAGGGCCAAGCUAGGGGAUGGGCUGGGUGUAUCAUAAUAAUAAUGGCAUACUCAAAAAUUAGAUUCAGCAAUUGUACUUGGCACCUAAUCCGAUCAGUUCUUUGCCCCAAAUUGUAGCAAGUGGGCCCCGCAACUUAACGCGCUAUAUAUACGCACCAAAGAUUUCAGCGUCGAAUUAGAAAAAAAGAAAAUCUAAAAAGGUUCGUUACUGUCGUAGCUGCCUGUCUCUCUACGAGCUUCUGCUUUCUCUCUCUACCUCCUUUUUCUUCUCUUUCACACUCUUUCUCUCUCUUCGAUCUCCCCCGAUCGAUGAAUGCAGGUUAGCUUCUCUGCUUAGCUCGUACCUCUCUGCUUGAAUUGUUCCGGAAGCUAUGUAAUUCUGUUUGAUUUGGGGGUAGCGGAGAAUUUUGAAUAAACCCUAAUUUCUCACUUUGCUCAAUUAUGGCUUUUGAGCUUGUGAAUGGGAGGUUGAAGUGUUUUGAUGUGUGGUUUAUGUAUUAAUUCACUCUUUGGUGUGGUAUUUGUUUGCUAAUUUUGAUAGUUUACCGUUAAAUACUCAUUCUUCUUGGAGUUCUUAGGUAUUAGUGGUUAGUAAUGUGUUUGAUUGGUCUCUUUUCUUUAUUAUAUGGCUUUUGGUAACUUAAUUGGGUUAAUCGUUGUUGAAAUUACUUAACUUUUUGUUUAUCACUGAAGAAGAAGAUUGCAUUUUGCAUUCUUGUGUAGCGAACUGUUGGAUUUUGUUUUGUGUAAUUAGUUAACUGUAUAUACCUGUGAUUUAUGAAGUCUCUAGAAUGCUUUUCAGUGGUUGAAUAUCUUGCAUUUCUGCUGUUUAUAAGAAGAUUGCAUUUUGCAGUGUUCUGUAGCUAAUAGCGAACUGUUGGAACUCUGUUUUGUGUAAUCAGUUAACUAAGUAGAAGUUUUAGAAGGCUGUCUAGUGGUUGAAUAUCUUUUGUUCUGCAAUUUUUGAUGAAAUUGUUUUUAUUGUCUUUUUAAGUCUUAUUACUUCUCUCUGAGUUUCGUCACUGUGGCUGGUGGAUUACAUUAGUCCGCGCAUUCGUGCUCUUUUUUUGUUGAUUAUUGCAUCAUAGUGUGAUUUGGUUUUUGCUGGUGCUCUUGAUGACUUUUUUAUUUGGUUUGAUGACUUGAGAUGCCCAUUCGACCCUCCACUGCAUCUUCAACUUCAAUUACCUGAAAUAUUUGUAAAGUAUGGGAUGAGCAUGCACAGUAUACUCAGUGUGGGAUAUCAUGCAAUAAUUGUCCAAGUUAAUAAAACGAUAACACAUACGAUAUUAACAUUUAUAACAUUUACUCGCACGGUGGCAUACCAAGGACCUUUCCGUCCUGGACCUAUUCAACGGGCCCCUGGCUAUUAUGGUUGCAACCUUAACUUUUACAUUUAAAUCGUAUUGUGGCAUACCAAAGACCUUUCCGGCCUGGACCCAUUCAACGGGCCCCUAACGAUAUAUAAUUUAACUCGUAUACGGUAAACACAUAAUAUUAAAAUGACCACAACAUGUAUUAAAAUAAAAUCUCACACUGAAAAUUUUGUACUUGAUUAAUAACUUGAGUAAUUCACAUCAACAGUUACGUUCUAGUCACGCCGUACCUAGUCAGAUAAAUUCAGAUAAUAGAUGUAAUCAAGCUUUUUUUUUAAGAUAAUUUAAAUAAUUUUAAGAAUUGUUCUAUAGCACUAACCCAAAGUCAUGAGCCUAAUAAAUAAAUAAAAUACUAAAAUAUGUAUACUUUCUUGUGGAACUUAGCUCAAAAUUUUUAACUAAUAAAGCAUGUUUCAAUACUUAAAUAUAUAAAAGUAGAUUUGAGCCCAUUUAUGCCAAAAAUCAAGUUCACUAUUUAAAGUCCAAGAAAAGAAAGUGUUCAGCCCAAUUAUAGAAGCCCAUAUUAAAUAUCCCUAAGCCCAAAACUCAUUUCAAUUUAGUAGAUUGUUAGUUAUGCUUUCUUUGUUCAAUUUAAUUAUGUUUUAUUUCGAUAACAUAGCAAAUUUAUUAAUUCAGUGAGUAUAAUGAAACACUAGUCUAAAAUAUGUGACCUAAUUGUUUUAUUGAUUGAUACAAUUGGAUGAAUUAUUUACAUCUCAAUGAGAAGAAGCUUUUAGUUUAAGAAGGGAUAUUCGUGCUUAUAAUAGAAUAUUGUCAUUUACUUCGUUCAGUGUAAAAUUGGAUAAAGAACUCGCAUCUGUAAGACGAAGAGUUUAUUCUUUAAUAUAUGAUCUUCCUGAAUUGAUCCCACAAUAUACAUGUAUUUUCAACUAUACUUUUAUGACGCACAAAGUGAGGUUGAGAACUGAAUUAACAUAAGAUGCACGUUUUAGAGUUCAACCCGUAUGAAAAAUUCUUACAAAUUAAUUUAUGUAAGAAUUUACCGGUGUUUUUGAUAAAAUUAUGUUAAUUAAUUUACUGGUGUUUCUGAUAAAAUUAUUUAAAUUUGAAUAAAUUUCCUCAUUACCAAGAGCUUAUUAUUAUUAUUAUUAUUAUUAUUAUUAUUAUUAUUAUUAUUAUUAUUAUUAUCUAUAUACUAAUAGAAAAGAGCCUAAGCAUUCUAUGGGACAACUUGCGGAUUGUCUAUUUUACCCCUAUUAUUUAUUUUGUAUUAUAUAUUUAUAAAAUAAAUCUAUUUGAUAUAUAUUUAUUUGCCACCCAAAUUUAUAAAUAAUAUUUUAUAUUAUAAAACCAAAUAUAUACAUAAAACCGUUGUCAAAUUAAUUAGAUCAAAAAUUUCUUCUCUACUUAGGUCCAAUAUUUGUUUCCCUCAUCUAAUCUAAUUUCUAAAUAAAUCCCUAAUAUAAUUGGUAAUUAUACAUCACAAUUCGUUUUUCCCUAAAAGAAGUUCAUUUAAACCAACGAUCAAGGAGAUUCCAAAAUCUUAUCGCAUUAGAAUUCUAUUUAAUUUAUUACAUAUUUUAUUUUAAGGUUUUUUUACAGUAUUAUAUAUUUAUAAGAAUAUAUUAUUCAUUAGAUAGUACACUAAAUCUAUGUGAUAUAUAUCUAUAGCUAUUGAUAAGGCUAUAAAUAAAUAUAUUCAUCCAAUAAAUUAUGUAAUGAAAGUAAUAAAUUAAUAGAUUUUCUAAAAUAAUAGAUUAUUAAAUAAAAUAACAUUAAUUACACGUACAACGUACGUUCUUUCUGCUAGUUACUCAAAAUGACUCGAAUAUUCAAAUUGCAACAAUUGCUCUAUUUCAGGGGGCAAUUGCGUAGAGCUUGGUUUUAGAUUGCGAAGUGUGAAUUACCCUUUAUUAUAUCUUAUUCAAAGAUCACAAAAAGGGGGAUUUAAAGUCUCCCAAAUCUAUUAUAAAAAUAGAGAAUAUCUUCUACUUUUGCAUGUUAUUCUACCACUUCAAAUAAACAAACAGGUUUUGUUGUUUAUUCAACUGACGUAGCCCUCUGAUCACGGCCAAAACUUAUAAUGCUAUUUAAUAUGAAUAUUAGGGUCAUUUUUUAAGAUUUGGGUUAGACUCAAUCUCCCAAAUCGAACAGAAAGUAGCUUUCCAUAUAAAUAGUCUUAGUUGCUUUUGCCUCCAAAAAUCACUCUUUAUAGUUCCACAAUUAUUUUCUUCGUCUUUUCCUCAUUCACACUCCAAUUAAUUAUUUUCUCCGUCUUCGUCGCUCCAAUGGGAAAAUAUUAUUUUAGCUUUGAAUAAAAGGAAACUCUGCAUUUCCUACUUUCAUCAUUAAUCCUUCCCAUUUGCCCAUCAUAUCCACACACACUCUAUAUAUACAUGUAUAUGGAUUUCAUAGUUCAAUAUUCUAAAAAAUUACUACUGUCAAAAUCAAGCCAAAAAAUGCAAAAAUCUCCCCAUUUUCUCAUCCUUGCACUACUCUUACCAAUCCAUUAUUUGAUGGAUUAUAGUUCAGCCAAAAACGAUAUCAACACCGAUCGUUCUUCACUUCUCGCCUUAAAAUCCCAAAUCACUUUAGAUCCUCAAAAUAUAUUGACCCAAAAUUGGAGCACUGAAGCCAGUGUUUGCAGUUGGAUCGGAGUUACUUGUGAUUCACGUUACAAUAGGGUUACUCAGUUGAAUAUAUCGUACAUGGGUCUUGUCGGAACCCUCCCACCAGAAAUUGGGAAUCUUUCUUCUCUCGUUUCUUUAGAAGUGAACGAGAACUCCUUUCAUGGCCCCAUUCCCCCAUCUAUCUUCAACAUGUCAUUUCUAGAAGUUUUGGAACUAAGGAAUAAUAGUUUGUCUAGUAGUUUACCUCUUGAUAUGUGCAAACACAAUCUGCAUAGACUCAAGAGGCUUCGUUUGUCUUACAACGAGUUGUAUGGGGAAAUACCAUCGAGUUUGGGGCAGUGUUCACAGCUUGAGUAUCUUUCUUUGGGCAACAACAAUUUCACUGGAUUUGUGCCG